Molecule: long non-coding RNA, 60034 nt
Filed under: Malus domestica (apple)
Lineage: Eukaryota; Viridiplantae; Streptophyta; Magnoliopsida; Rosales; Rosaceae
Description: long non-coding RNA (MDOM_LNC009188)
Source: RNAcentral
UUUUUUUUUUUUUUCUUUUCUUUUCUUCCCCUUCUCCUUCUUCUUCUUCUUUUUUUUUUUUUCUUUUCUUCCCUUUCUUCUUCUUCUUCUUUUUUUUUUCUUCUUUUCUUCCCCUUCUUCUUCUUCUUCUUCUUCUUCUUCUUCUUCUUCUUCUUCUUCUUCUUCUUGCAAAUGUUGGUUUUUUUUGUUUUUUUUUUGGUUGAGAAAAUUCAGGUUUUUUUUAAAAAAAUUAAAAAAAUAUUUUAUUUGCCACGUGACAUAUAUGUGGCAGCCGCAUCGGUAUUUAACAGAUCAGUGGAUAGAAAAUGUAACGGAUGUGUUAUUUUGAAAUAAAAUAGUACUUAAGGUAUGAAAGUGAAAUGUUUUAAAGAUGUUGUAAGGAAUUGAAAUAGAGCCCAAACCUGAGGUAAGAAAGUGUAAUUUACCUUAUUUUUAAAGAGCAAAAGGUAGAAUUCGCACAAUCUUCGAGAAAUAUCGGCUGCUGGAAGAUUUCCUAACAAAGUUUUUUGCAAUUUUUGGUAGGCGACGAAAAUCAGAAUACAACCAAUUGAAACUUGAGUUUUGAAAGUUUAUUUAUGUUAUUAAGAGGGUAAUAGCGGAUAGAAACUUUUACCAACCUCGUCUAAAUAUGCAUUUUCUCCAAAUACCUACUCAAUUACCUAUUUCCCAAACUAAUAAAAAAAGCUAAAAUACCUACAAACCAUUUAUUUUCCAAAAUAGUAAGGGUUAAGACAAAAUAAAAACAUUGGGUUUGGGGUUGUUGAUGCACAAAAUCGGAAGGGUCUUGGAACAACGUAAAUCUGACCGUGCAUCAUGCAAGAAAGUAAAGAACACAAGAUGUAUCGUGGUUCACCCCAAUGUUUGGGCUACGUCCACACUGAUGUUGAUAUUGUUUCACUAUGAAUGGUGAAUAUACAAGAAGGCUAGAGGCAGUGUGCUCUCUAGCCUAUUUUAUGUGUGAUUUCUUCCCAUGGCCUAAACCUUGACCUCCUAUAAUGAGGAGAGUGAGGAGUCAUUUUAUAGAAUAAGGGCUCCUCACUUAUUACAUAUUUGCCUUUUCAUUUAUUACAUAAUUACACUUAAGUCCCCCGAGUAUUUAUACGAGGUCUAAAUACGGAGGCCUUAAGUAUGGUACAAACAGUAGUCCCUCAAGUCUUGAGUCAAGAGAGUCUUUUGGCUGGAAACUUGAAAUUCAGUCCAUGUGUGGGCCGAAGUAACUAAAUGUCGUCUAGAACUGAUACCCGAUAUAAGGCGGUGCUUAAUGUGAAAUGAUGCUCAACUAGAAGUAGCACAUGUUGCGAGGCUGCUUGGCUUGUGGCUUAUGUUGCCUUGGUUGGCUCGGCUUGUGGUAUUAAAGGUGAGGGAGUCCCUUUUAUAGAAUAAGGGCUCACUCAUCAAUACAUAAAUGAUGGGCUACAGUUGAUGCUUGCGGCGAGGCGGUUGCUUAGCGGGCGGCGAUGCUCUCUAAUAAUGAUGAAAGAGUCCCUUUUAUAGAAUAAGGGCUCACUCCUCAAUACAUAAGUGAUGGGUUAGGAGUGAUGCUCGCGGCGAGGCGGUUGCUCAACAGGCGGCGAUGCUCUCUAAUGAUGGUGAGGGAGUCAUUUUUAUAGAAUAAGGGCUCGCUCCUUAAUACAUAAGUGAUGGGUUAGGAGUGAUGCUUGCGGCAAGGCGGUUGCUCAGCUGGCGGCGAUGCUCUUUAAUGAAGGUGAGGGAGUCCCUUUUAUAGAAUAAGGGUUCCCUCGUCAAUACAUAAAUGAUGGGCUAAAAGUCUAUCUAUAAUGAAGGUGAGGGAGUCCCUUUUAUAAAAUAAGGGUACGCUCAUCAAUACAUGAAUAAUGGGUGCUCUUUAAUGAAAGUGAGGGAGUCUCUUUUAUAGAAUAAGGGCUCGCUCCUCAGUACAUAAAUAAUGGGCUAAGUCCCCCAAGUAUUUUUCAUGAGGCCCAGUUGCGGAAGCCCAAUAUAUGUUACAUAGUGUAGUCCCCCAAGUCUUCAGUCAAUAGGGUCUGUUGGCUGGAGACUUCAAAUUCAAUCCAUGUAUGGGCCGAAGUGGCAGUUGUUCGGAGGUUGUCUUCGUAUACCAUGCACUGAAGCUUUGUAGGUGAAGCUUUGAAAUCGGAGCUUUGUAAAUGAAACUUUCGAAGCUUGAGCUUUUGUAAAUGAAGCUUUUGAAGCUAGAGCUCUGUAAAUGAAGCUUUCGAAGCUGGAGCUCUGUAAAUGAAGCUUUCGAAGCUAGAACUCUGUAAAUGAAGCUUUUGAAGCUAGAGCUCUGUAAAUGAAGCUUUCGAAGCUGGAGCUUUUGUAAAUGAAGCUUUCGAAGCUAGAGCUCUGUAAAUGAAGCUUUCGAAGCUGAAGCUCUAUAAAUGAAGCUUUCGAAGCUAGAACUCUGUAAAUGAAGCUUUCGAAGCUAGAGCUCUGUAAAUGAAGCUUUCGAAGCUGAUUGACAUGAGUGAUGCUCAUGAAUGUUUAUGUUGACUGACAUGAGUGAUGCUCAUGGAUGUUGACAUGAGUGAUGCUCAUGAAUGUUGUGAAGAGGGAUGCUCAUGAAUGUUUAUGUAUGAUUGACAUGAGUGAUGCUCAUGUAUGAUUUUUUGAAGUACUGGACAUACUUUUGAUCACCUGGUUGGUGAUAAUAGCGGCAGGCUGCCGAAUAAUUUUGGAGUACUGGACGUACUUUUGAUCACCUGGUUGGUGAUAAUAGCGGCAAGUACUUUUGAUCACCUGGUUGGUGAUAAUAGCGGCAGACUGCCAAAUAAUUUUGGAGUACAUGACGUACUUUUGAUCACCUAGUUGGUGAUAAUAGCGGCAUGCUUGAUACGAACACAUUUAUGCAACUUAGUUAGCUUGUUUCUUGGCAUUUACUUAGUUUAAUUCUAGUUAUUUUAGUACUUUAAGCUAUUUUCGUGUGUUUGUAGGUUCAAAUAACAAAGUUAGCAACAAAGUGCUAUUUGGAGCAUUUUGGAGCAUUUUUGGGCCAAGAUUGGAUAGUGCAAGCAUGGAGACAUGAGGAUGGAUGUUUUUGAAGAUUUGAAGGCUAGAAAUCAGCAUGUAUGUGUGCAAGUGUGUUGACCUACAACUACAAACAUCCAUCCACUACACCCAUUACAUCCACUCAUUACCAAACAUGCAUCCACUACACCCAUUACAUCCACUCAUUACCAAACACUCACCCACUACACCCAUUACAUCCACUCAUUACCAUAACACUCACCCACUACACCCAUUACAUCCACUCAUUACUAAACAGCCAUCCACUACACUCAUUACAUCCACUCAUUACCAAACACUCACCCACUACACCUAUUACAUCCACUCAUUACCAAACACUCACCCACUACACCCAUUACAUCCACUCAUUAACAAACAUUCACCCACUACACCCAUUACAUCCAUUCAUUACCAAACAUUCACCCACUACACCCAUUACAUCCACUCAUUACCAUAACAUACACCACUACCACCUUAAUUAGAUGGUGGUCCUCUCCCUAGCCUAUAAAUACAUCCACCCUUCACCAUAACAAGGGAGAAAAAAUCCAUCCAAAACACACACACAUCAUCUACACAAUUCUCCACUCUUUGCCGCAUUCAAUACAACCUUCAUCCAAACACAUCCAUUCAUCUUCACAUCCAUUCCUUCAUACAAACAAACCUUCAAACACUUACCAACACCUUGUGCCAUAGCAAAGGAAGGGAAGGAAAGUGCUUGGACGUGCUUGCUGUCCAACUUGGAUCGUUGGAGCGUUUAGGUGUUUUCUUUCUUUUGUUUCCAAUGUUUAAAUUCAUUUUGUUUUGUUUUGUUGUGAAUAUGAGUGGCUAAACCCCUCUUGGCUAGGGGUGAUUUCAAAGCUAUGAUUAUGUGUGCAAUAUAAUUUGAUAAAUUCCAGUUAUGAACUCUUGAAUCGUGAAUACAAUUGGCUUAACUAUUUGAUUGAUAACUUAUUUGUAUUUGUUAAUUAAGGGUCGACACUUAAUUGGCAUGCAUAAAUCUGUUGCUAGAAUAUAAGAAAGUUUCAUAUAAUCGUUACAAACUUAUAUUCAUAAGUAGUGGAGGUCGCUUAUAAACGAUCGCGUUAAGUUCAAUUCCUAGCAUAAGUGACAUGAUGUCAUAGUUGCAAGUGCUUUGUCAAUGCUUAUGAUUUUCAUUAAACGUAAUGAUCUUUGAUUGUAUCUCUAUUAUGAUGUCAUGUAGGGAACUUUUGAAGAAUGUUUUAGGUUGUCGAAUGAUGUCAUCCAAUCCAAUAAAACAAGGAAAAUCUGAGAGUUAACUAGUGAUGUCACGGUUAAUUUGGAGCAUUGUCAUUCAUAAUUCAAUGAAGUAGUAACUGGAAAUCAAGUUAUUUGCAUACAUGUCAUGUGUGGAGAAAAAACCUCUAGCUAUCCCAUCCAUCAUCUUAUUUCUCAAAUUUGUUUUACAAUCUGUCUGGUUUUUCAUACUUGUUUGUUUGUUUCAACUUCGUCCAAAACUCAAUCCCCCUUUACUUUAGUGUGUCUAAUUAGUUAGAAUCUGUUUUAAUUUGUGUUUUUAAGAGUUUUGAUUCAAGUAAUAGUCAAUUUUCGUCCAAAGUCAUUCCUAGUGUCUAGUUUAAGUUUAUUUGGUUGUUUUAAGCUGUUUUGAGUAUUGUAAGUUUGCUUUGAGUCUUGUGAGUAUUGUUAAGUGUUUUUAAGUUUAGUUUUAUGUUUUUGAGUCAGUUUAGAGGUUAUUAGCAAGCCCUCCUAAUCCCCGGUCCAGAGCGAUCCCUACUUAUACUUGUACUACAAUUGUCAAAAGAGGGUUAAAUUUGUGUGUUAAGAUAAUUUUCGCAUCAAUGCUGCCGAAUAAUUUUUUGAGUACUGGACGUACUUUUGAUUACCUGGUUGGUAAUAAUAGAGGGUGAACUUUAAGUGAAGGGAUGAAGGUUGGAGUUUGAAGCCAUAGGGCCUCGCUCUUUUGGGCAUAUGGGCCUUCGCCCUCCACAUAACAUUCCAGCCCAUUAUAUUGGGCUUGCCGUUUUUUUUUUUUUGGCAUGCUAUCUUCUUUCUUUAUUUAUGAUUACCCUCUGGUGGGGUUAUACAAAUGUCUCCAAAAGAUAAGAAAAAUAAAUCACAUCAUUAAAAAAAAAGAAACUGUUGGGACCUGGCAACACCGAGACUUCUCCCUUCACAUCAACCUCACCAGUCCAUCUGUAGAGGAAACCUUCAAGUAGAGGCAGGUUUGGACUAGUGGAUCCCUCUCUUCUGUUUUUCUUUUUCUUUUGGUAGAUGGCAGACAAAAGGAAUAAUAAUAGACUUAUUAUUGAGAAAGCUUAUCUUCUUCUUUGUUGCUUUUCCUCUUCCGCUUGUUGGUUGUAAAGGUCAGUAUAAUCCAGUUGUAAAAGGUCAAUAUUCCUUUCUCUAAAGUGAUAGCUGCUUGGACAACCUUUCCGACACCACCCAUUUGCUUUUCUCGUAGCUUUCUCAAAAAAUAGGAACAUGUAUGAUGAAAGUGUGGGCAUCUUCUUUGGUUGACAAAAGCAAAAGUAGCUUCAAGUGGUUGGACGACAGCAUGAGCUUCAUCGCAAGGUCCAUGAGCUCCAUGGAAACAAUCUGACCAACAACAACCAAGCUAUUAACUAACUCACCAGCAAAACGUACCUCUUUCUGUGUAAUAAGAGUGUAUGCAGUGUCAUCUUUAUCACCACCACGACCUGUUCUACCAAUUCGAUGGACAUGCAUGUCCAUGUCUUUUGCAAUAUCAAAGUUCACAACUGACUUAAUUGACUUAAUGUCACGACCACGGGCAGCAACAUCAGUUGCACCAAGAACAUGGUAAAUGCCAUAUUUAAAUUUUUGCAAAAUAUCCAUCUGAGAUGCCUGGUUCUUGUCACCAUGCAAAGCUGUGACUUUAAAACCUUUCUGAGUAAGUUGUGCCUCGAUCUCAUCCACUGCAGCUUUUUUCGAAACUACCCUUCCUCCAGCUGAAUAGCAGCUUGAGGCGGUUGGACUUGUGAGGGUUUAGGGUAGCUGGAAUUACCCUUACUUUCCCAAACGACCCUUCCUCCAGCUGAAUUAUUACCAGUACCGUCAUUAACUCUCGAGUCGUGCUUCUACACCGACUUCCCAUGCCUCUGCGAGGCACUGCCAGUAGGAGUAGCUUUGGAGCUUCGCGCAACCGAGCAGCUCCGGUCAGUAGGAGUCGAAUAGCUAAACGGCGAGGUCGUCGAGGCUAAUCUUCUGGAAUCCCGAGCCUCUGACCUUGUUGACGAACCUCCCUCUGUUGGGAAUCGGAUUAUCAUUGUAAUCGUCAGCCGCCGACGUCCGCUUCGGUGACGCGCGAGAGAAACAACUCAGGUUGUGAGAGCGCUGGUGAGACGACUUCCAAUUAAACAUAGCCGAGUCUUCCGACGGAGUCUUGGACGCUCCGAUCGACGUCCGCUUCGUCGUUGAUUUGAACAUCGAGGUCGCCAUUCGAGGUAACUAAGAAAGUGAUAAGAAUAGAGAGGGACGGAAGAGCACAGGUGUUGGAAUCAGAUCAGUUGUGAUUUUAUCAGCUUUGCCGAUCAACGAGACAGAGCGAAGAACUCGAUUCGGUAAUUGCAAUUUGGAUGUUGCUUUUGUCUCUGUCGUUUUCUUUUUCUUCAAAACAGAGAGAUGGACUUUUCUGGGUAUUUAGAGAGAGAAUCUUAGGAUUUUUAGAUAGAGAGUGGUGUUCUUGGUUUUUGUGAUUUUUUUGUACGAGGAUAGCAGAGUGAGAGAUAUAGUAUUUGGUUUCCUGGGUUUUUUUUUUUUUUUGUAGAUUCACGGUGGAUGAGAUGAAAAAUUGAGAAAGAAUUGACAUAGCUUUUUGUGUCGAUUCCCACAGACGGUGCCAAAUGUUUAUGCACAAAACUGGAAGGGUCUUGGAACAACGUAAAUCCGACCGUGAAUCAUGCAAGAAAGUAAGAACACAAGAUGUAUCGUGGUUCACCCCAAUGUUUGGGCUACGUCCACAUAGAUAUUGAUAUUGUUUCACUCUGAAUGAUGAAUAUACAAGAAGGCUAGAGGCAAUGUGUUAUACUAUUUUCUGUGUGCUAUCUUCCCAUGGCCUAAACCUUGACCUCCUCUAAUGAGGAGAGUGAGGAGUCCUUUUAUAGAACAAGUGCUUCUCACUUAUUACAUAUUUGCCCAUUUAUUUAUUACAUAAUUACACUUGAGUCCCUCGAGUAUUUAUACGAGGUCUAAAUACGGAGGCCUUAAGUAUGGUACAAACAAGGGUCAUGUGAACUCAAUGACCCUAGUGUGGCUCCGCUACCAGCCCCUGCAGACCCUAACUACUGUCAAUUUUAAUUUUUUUUUAAAAAAAAAAUCUUUUAAAGGUUGGUUUAUAGGUUGAUAAAUUCCAACAACUUGACAUACUGUAAUUAACUUGCAGAACAAUUAAUAUGUCUAUGUUUGUAUCCUCAAUUACUAUCAGUUUAAAACACACAAAAAUAUUCCCUUCAAAUCUAGAUCACCUCUUGCCCUAAACCCUAAAUCCUAAAUAUCACCUUCCAAAGUUUUUCUUGGAAUGAAUACCACUUUUUGAAGGAAAUUUCUUUAAUACCAUGUAGCAUUGAAAGAUAUAAAAAAAUGAAUUACCGAGAUUGAUAAUGAAAUUUGGAAAGAAAAAAAAAAAGAAAGAUUGAUUAUGAAAAAUCUACAAAUUGUAGAAACCAAAUUUAACAUCUAAGAACACUAGUAGAAUGAAACCACACCCAUUUUUAAAACUACGUCGCUUGUUUAAAAGAGAGCUGCAUCUGAAAUAUCUUAUGUCCAGGCCUGAAGUUUUCUAUUUCUCAACUUUCCAAAGCGGACUGUUGUAUGUCCUAUUCAAUUAAAGAAUGUAAAAAUGUUAAUAAAAUUGACAUAGUUUAUACUAUAGUAAACGACCAUAAUCUUGCAUUUCUUAUUCGAUUGCAUGAUGUAUUAUAUUGAUAGAUUGUCAGAUUGAAAGAAUAAUUCGUUCAAGUUUUUGUAAAACUAUAUUUCCCACCGUCCAAACAAGUUGUCCCAAUUUUGUUUUUUACUCCGCCAGUCCUUUCUGAAAUGUGGACCGCCCUUGAUAUAAAUAAUAAAAUACGCAAAAAUAUAAAAUAAAUUUAACUAAAAGAUAAACUACCACAUGACAUGAUAUUAUUUGUUUCUUUAUUAAAGGGAGACAAUUAGUGGCGAGCUAUAGUUAUUUAGCUUGUUUGGCUUUGAAAGAGGCUAUUUGGGAAUUUCACCUUAUCAGUAGCCACGGUUAAAUAGAUUCAUAGCUUACAAAGUAUCAAACCGAAGAUCUCCUGUUUUUUCUUUAGCUGCUGUUUGCACUUUUCUACUAAACCAAUUGUCUUGGUUCAUGACAUGAUAUAUUUGGGUGGAGAAUUGGGUUGAUCCUUUGGCUUGUAUGAAACAAUUUGUAUACGUACUUCCUAUGUUCCCUUCCCUCUCCCAAUAUUAUAUUUUUAGAGUUGUCAGACGAUUAUAUUUUUUAGUUGGCUAAAUAACAAUUGAUUAUAAGAAUAAUUAGAGAAAGACUUUUGUCAGCCAUUGACGGAAGUAGGUCUCUCAGCCCAUCAACGUAUAAAUUUUGAAUGGUUUCACCUACUCAAAACUCACAUAAGGUGCAUCCUACUACCAAAAUUCUGGUUUUUGUCACAUAUUCGUUCUUCCACGCAAAAAGAAUAAAGAAGUUUGUAUAUGAAAAAGUAUGCUGAUGACUUCGUAUUGUUUCAAAUCCCUAUUCUUAUCAAACACAAGAAAAACAAAAAUUUUCCUACUUGAGCAAAAAAUCUUGGUAGUUUUGCCGUCCACUUUGCGUCGGUGGGCAGUAGUCGCUUGCACAACUCAAAUAGUUAAUGUGAACAUUUAAACUUCCAAAUGUGAUAAACCAAUUUGGUCUAAAAUAUCAUCUACAAAUGUGUGUUAGGUCAAUUAGUCAAUAUAGUAUAUUUUCACUUUGCACCAAAGUCAGAUCACUCCACAUAGAACUAGUUUAGUUUAUAAUUGACAUAACAUGACAUGCACACAUCACUUAUCACAGUAUGCAUAAAAAUAGUACAAAAAUGGGAUCUCCCUGACAUUUUCCUUGCUUGUAUAAAGAAAAAAUGAUCAUCUUGAGAGAAAAAAAAAAUCACAUUUAAUGGCAAAGAUGGUGUGCGUCUUUUUUCUUUUAAAUCAUUUUCAAUUGUCCUCAACUUCCCAAAUACUACCAAAUUCCAUGAAUUUGGAAAGUCAUCAACUACUUCCCUUCAUCUCUAAUGAGGAUUUGGAUCCCAUCCGGAUCCAAAUUAUGGGAAUCUUAAAAAUCUUCACAUCUUAACUGUUCAUCAUAUAUCGUGCUGUUAGAAAUUAUUUUAAAUUUUUUAUUUAAAAUUAAAUACAAAUAGUACCUGAUAAAAACUAACCACAUAAUGUUUGAUAAACGAUUAAAAUAUGAAUAUCUCUCGAAUUCUCACAAAGAGGAUCCAGAGAGAAUCCUCGUUGCUCCACUGAGACGUUGGAAAAAGUUGCCACCAGAUAAAACUGAGCCGAAAGCAAAAAUACGUUGAGGCUUUUAACGAGGCUUCUUUUGACUUUUUCUUAUUUCAUUCAAGUAUUUGGGUCACUCAGAGAAUAGUGAGACUGUAAAGUGAUACACAAAUACAGCCCAAUGUGGCUUGGCUUCCAUUAAAAAACUAAAAUGAAGGACAAAAAGAUGGUGUUCAAAUAGAAUAUUGUUAUAUAAAAUUCAAUGAGGAUAAAGGCAAUGCCAUGAGCACUUGCACAUCAACCUUGUAAAAUAAUUCAAUAGGAAUACUAAACAAAUCAGGCAGAUGGAAGACGUUAUUGGAAGUAUGCAUUGGUUGCACGAGAGAAUUUCUCGUGUGUUAAGCCAGUUGGCUAGACACCCAAAUUCAAUGCAUUUUACCCGUAAAACGUAACUACAUAGAACGUAAUGCCAAACGAAGUAUCAAUGAUUAAUAAAUGUAUAGAAACAUGAAGCAAUAACGGCAAUUGACAUCAUAACAUUGAACAAUCUAUUUACAGUGCUAGUCAAGACCCGAAAAUUUGUAUUAAAACUCCUAAAUAACGAAAAAAAGUUCCGGUAAGUCAUCCUGAAAGUUGGGUACUAAAUAGAUCUAAAUACUUCCACAUGAACAAAUCAGAUCACUACACAAAGAGAACAGAGAUUCUUUGAUACAGUUUCGACAUUCAAAUUUACCAGCAAGGUGCCCAGUAAUUUCUAACCGGUUUAGCUGGGGGUGAGAUGUUGCUUUUGAGGCUGGUUCACAAAUCCUGCAUCUUCAAGAACGCGAAAUACAGUAACUUUCAGCACAAUGUCCUUCAUCUUGAGAAAUUCAAAGACACAAACAUCCCCCUCUCCCAGAUUGUUAUCCAUCGUAAACUCAUACCAUCCCUGGCUUAAUUUUGCUCUACCUCCUCUAUAAAGGCAUCGGACUGACCAUUGUCUACCAUCAGCGGACUGAAGUUUGAUGAAUCCUGAAACCCCAUUUAAAUUCUUUUCGGCAAAGCAGGAUGGCAAAUACUGCAUGAGCAAAAAGUAACAUUAAGCCAAGAUGUAACAAUCUGAAAUCAACAAGCAGAAGCAGUGUAUCACAUCAUUAUUGAAGACUCACCAUUAUACAACCUCUAUAUAGGUAGGAUGGUCGAAGGACGACCCUGCAGAAAGGAUUAUCUGGCUCAAAUGUUUUGGCUGCAUUGAUAGCCCUUUCUCUUUCUUCAGCUGUCACGGUUCUCUUCCUUGCAGAUGCACUUUCAUAGAACCGAAAGCGGAUUUCCACUUCUUUUUCUUGUUGAGAAGAAGACUCCUGCACAUCUGCACUCUUAUAGAAUUAAUAAUGAGGUUUGCAAUUCCCAUUAACGAUAUGACAAACAGUAUGAGUUCAGAGAUCUUACCAGGAUUAACCUUCCGCUUUUUUCUCAUAGUCUUCUUUAUGCUUUGUGUAUCUUCACCUGGACUACGCAAUUUGACUUCAUCCACUGUCUUUUUAAGCUCUGUUACAUUAAAUUGAAGACCAUUAUCUCGAGUAGAUUCAUUACCUGCUUGUAGAUCAUCACCCUUCGACAGAUGCAGGUUCCCAGCAUCACUCCUGCUCAUGCAAUUCUUCGGUUUGGAACCAUUAAACAAAUUCUGCAGCAAUGGAGUACAAUUUUUCCCAGGAAUCAGUUUAUUUGCAGAGUCACCAAAGCGCUUGUCUCUCAAAGAAUCGGUAACAAUGGAUGUAGGGGAGGAACCCAAGAUUUCAACAGAGUCAUCAUCUUCCAUUUCUUCAAAAACUUGAUACCGGUAAAUAGAACCUCCAGUACUACUGAGAGCAUUAGGUUGAUAGUUAAUCUCAGCAGUUUUCAAAUUAAAUAUAUGGACGGUGAAAGACGAAUGCCCUUCAUAUCUGAAUGUUAAAAAGUAGCCAACACGGAUUGAAUAAUGUUCAAUGAACUCUAGCCAACCACCGUGAAACCAAAACUUGUUAUCAACCUUCUUUAUUCCCACAUGCCAAACACGACCAUCAGGAACAGUGAGCUUAGCAAUGGUAGAAAGAUCGUUUCUGAAUUUCUGGACAAAACUUUCCGGGAUCCUCUACAAUUACAAAAUCAAGCAAGGGUUUUAGCUAGAAUAAAACACCCACCAUGCAAAGUUUCAGGUCCAUGAAAGUGAUUCUUAAACCAAUCAGAUAUAUGAACAAAACUUACUUAAUUUGUAUGAAACAAAUCUCAUGUUGUUUCAGAGGCCUCCCAAAGGAAUGAAGCAAGUAAACCACAUAUUUUUUCGGAGACAAAAGCGACCAGAAAAUAAAAGCAGAGGCGACUAUUAAGAAGCAGAUCACUUUUUGAUAUGAGCCUAAACAAUCAGACUGGAGAGACUAGAAAUGGAGAAAGAUCAAAGCUAUUACCACCAUUCGGGAAAUGAAUUAUAAAUGUAAAAUCCGAUUACAACAUCUUUAUUUGCUGAGAAUUCAUAAAUUUAAAGUUGCUAAUGCACCGUUGCAACUUUUACCGAUAGUAGAGCACUACAACUCUAUUUUUGUUUCUUCAACGAACAGCAGAGAUUAAAAAAAAUAGCGGAAAUCUCAAGCGAUUUUUGGUCCUACCUAAAGUAUAGUCCAAAUAACUUUUAUCUAGUUAAACAAUUAUACGUGCAACGGUGCAAGACUCCCUCUACCUCGACGAAAAUUCCUACCAGGAAUACACAAUCUAUUAUAUAUCAUCCAUUGGUGCCAGAAGAUUUUCAAACUUUGAAUAACAUUCCAUCUCCCUAAACGGAGCCAAACCGAUAUCAAAUCUCAUGUUUUCAUUCCAGUAAGACAUAAAGUUAGCAGCCAUACUGUGCUGGCUUUUGAUUAUCUUCCUAACAUUAGGAAUCUCAUGAACGAAAUUUAAAAAUUAAAAAAUAAAAAUAAAAAUCAUAGAAGUCAAAUUUCGUUUUGAAAAAUCGAAUUAACCAUUGACAAUGUAACCAAACAAGUCUAUCGGAUUUCUAUUAGAACACCCUUUGACGAAAAAUUGAAGAAAAUAUCUUAACAACCUGGAAUUACCAUACAACCAAACCAAAGUUUCAACCUUUAUGUUUUUACCCACCCACCAAAAAAACACACACACAAGACUGGGAAUUUGAAGGGUUUUUUCCUGUCUUAAAUGGGUCUGCAAAAUCCUCCAGAAACAGAAGAAAAAUACACAAUUUUGCAUCUGGAUUCCACACCCCCAGUUUUCUCAGUACACCAAACAAAGCAAGAUUAAAAUAAUCCAAACAUUAAUCACUAAUCAGCAGUUCAGCACAGAAUUAAGAACAAAAACCCACAAUUAAAAAGCUAAAUAUAAAGAGAGUAAGAGAUUGUACCAGCUGCUUGGCUUGGAGAGUAGAGGACACAAUCAGCUUGUGAAAAUAAGGGGUCAUCAUUUUCAUUUUUAUUUAUUUAAUUUUUUUUUUUUUGGGGGUGGUUUUGUAGGUUUUGGUCAGGAGAAAAGCAUUGAAAUUGUGUAGAUUUUGCAGGGUGAGAGCGACUGACUGAGGAGCGAGGGAAGGCUGUUGUGUGAAUCUGUGUCCUUUGUUUUCAGAUCUGAGUUUUAACCCCUCCACAGAACCUACAGGCCUACACAAAAACACUUCUCCAAAAACAGGUCUUGCGAGUCAAACUCUCGUUUACCAACAAAAAAACACAAAAAUAAAAACAAAUAUACGUAUCUAAUCUACUCUGCUCUGCUACUUGACCAAAAAGUUGAACGAGUCCAAGCUGGGUCCAUGUCCUUCGCCUGCCUCAAUCCAUUUGUGUACGGGUCGGGUUCCUCACAGCAAAUUGAGUCUAACCCAACUCAUAAACUCGUUUCGACAAAAAAAAAAAAUAUCAUUAACUCGUCAACUUUCUUUUUCUUUUUUUUUUGGUAAACUUCCUUGUUUCCUCUUUUGUGAAUGCAAUGCUCCAGCUAAUUAGUACACAAUCACAUUCCCAAAUAAAUUCACAUUUUACGAUGUUGUAAAUGAGAUUGGUCACACGAUCCAAUACCUUGUUAAGCUUCUGGCAAAUAGACAUUGUGGGACCAUGAUUUUUCAAGGCCAGGGUAAGCGAAUCAGAAUACAACUUAGAAGUUCGGUUAUGAUUCGUCAGUUUCGAGUGGAGCUUGUGGAGUCAAAAAUAUUCAUAAGGCGACACGUGGGUUUUUUGGACAAAAAUGACAAAAAUACCCUCGAGGCAUACCGGGUCUCCUACACGCGAGCAGUGGAGAAUCAUCCAUCAACCAAGUCAGAAGUACCCAAAAUGGGUAACAAUUCAAAACCUAUUUCAUAUAUGUUUUUACCUCAUUUUUUCCUUAUUCAAUUAGCCAUUUAUUUCAAACAUUCCAUAACAUCCUCAACCAAUUAAUAUAAUCAAUAUAUUAAAGGCUAUUUACAUCACCAAAUCACCCCAAAAUCACACCAAGGUCCGGCCAUUCCCAUCCAAAAAGAGCCUAUCAUAUUCUCUACCUUUUCCACCAUUUUCCCUUUUUAAUUACCCUAAUUAACUAGCCAAUUAAUUCCAAAACCACCAAAACAUUCAUUUUAUGUUUAAAUAGCCAAAUAAAUUGGCUAAUUAAACCUAAAUUAAACCUAAAAACCCUAGCCACCUCCUAACUCUAUAAAUAGACACCUAUUUGGCUACUUCGGUAGCCACUCGUGGCGAGGUCCAUGGAGCCUUCACCACGGCCCGGAGAUCCGUGAGGCAAAAUGCGACAAUAAGGGGAGCGGCAUCACCACCACGAGUUUCCACCAUGGGAACCACCGCGGUGGCUACCUCGGUAGCCACCCACGGCGAGGUCCAUGGUGCCUUCACCACGGCCACCAUGGGAACCACUGCGGUGGCUACUUCGGUAGCCACUCGUGGCGAGGUCCAUGGAGCCUUUACCACGGCCCGAGCCGUGCCAUCCAAGGCUCACGGUACCAAGACCACAAUCCAAGCCAUGCCAUCCAAGUUUACGUGGACCCAAGCCCAAGCCUCGCAUUCACAUGCACCGCGCAUUGAGCAGCCUGCUUUCGUUGAGCAGCCCAAUCCCGUGGCCCAGCCUGCUUUCGUGACCCAACCUGCUCCCGACGAGCAGCCCACUCCCGUGGUCCAGCCUGCUCCCGACAAGCAGCCCACUCUCGUGGUCCAGCCUGCUUCCGUCGAGCAGCCCAAUCCCGUGGCCCAGCCUGCUCCCGCCAAGCAACUUGCUCUCGCGGCCCAGCCUGCUCCCGCCAAGCAACUUGCUCUCGUAGCCCAGCCUGCUCCUGCCAAGCAGCUUGCUCUCGUGACCUAGCCUGCUCCCGACGAGCAGCCCACUCCCAUGGCCCAGCCUGCUCUUGCCAAGCAGCCUGUUCUCGUGACCCAACCUGCUCCCGACGAGCAGCCCACUCUCGUGGUCCAGCCUGCUUCCGUCAAGCAGCCGACUCCCAUGGCCCAACCUGCUUCCGUCGAGCAGCCCAUUCCCGUGGCCCAGCCUGCUCCUGCCAAGCAGCCUGCUUUCAUGACCCAGCCUGCUCCUGACGAGCAACCCACUCUCACUGCCUAUCCUGCUCUAGUGGCUUUCCAAGCAGCCCAAGUCGGCCCAAGACUAUCUCAACCAUCCGGACCUACCAUCGAACCGGGGGCAUUCUCACCACAUUUUUUCGCGGGUUUGACAUUUCCCAACUCAAAUCUCGCGCCCGAAGUCUACCACCCUUUCACUGCCCAAGGAGGCGCAUUCCUUCCAAGCUCUUCCAAUCCAAAUGGCGAACAACACUUGUCUCGACAAGUCAUAGAGUUGACGAGCGCCCUUGCACAACAGACAACCUUGGUGAAUCAACUUUUGCAACACAUUGGGAUCCAACGUGCCCCGGACGAGGUAUCCCGAAGUAGGACAAUGGCAGACGGACAUUUCCAGCAGCAUCCCGGCAAGCAGCCACGAGCCGAACGUUUGGGCAGUGUACAUUCCCGUCUUAGAGCGCGAAGGAGCAUGCACUCUCGACUAGGCCCACGGAGGAGCAUACAUUCACGAUUGGGGUUAUACUCCGAUAGUCAACAUGAACAACCUUUCGGGCAAAAUGUCUAUUCGCAGCUAAGCCCACAAGAAGCGUCAUCCACCUCACAUCAGAGUAGGCAGCACGACGGACGGAGAGAAGCAGUCACUCAAUCCAGCUCAAGUUCAACCAGCAGCAUGCGAAGAACUCGCUCACCUACUAGGAACGCAUCAUAUGCACUGCAUCCGCGGCAUAGACGAGCCAAACACAUGGAAGAGCAGCCUAGACCAGCAAGUCAUGACUGGGGGCAGCCGAGAGCUCCACUACCCCAACAAAGGCAAAUUCAGGAAGAAGUAUAGAGACUCUUGACCAAGCGAUUACAUGAUUUCCAACGCAACGAGGUCACCGACGAGGCACUACGACGAAACAUAACCAACAUAAGCAGGUCACCCUUCACGGAGGAGAUUGAGCAGGCAGAGCCUCCACGCGAGUUCAACAUGCCACAUUUCACAUCUUUCAAAUGGGAUGAAGACCCGGAGAGACACUUAAAACGUUACCAAAGUGCAAUGAUCCUUUAUCGAAACAACGAUGAUCUCAUGUGCAAGAUAUUCGCCACCACUCUACAAGGCGAGGCGUAAGAUUGGUUCUACACCCUGCCGCCACAAUCCAUCCGGAAUUUCUACGAACUUUCUUUGGUUUUCACCAAAGAAUAUUCAUCCUAUCGCUCGAUCAAAAAGAAGUCUGACCAUUUGUUCGACGUCAAGAAGAACCCAAAGGAGUCGCUUCGCGACUAUGUGAAGAGGUUCAAAGUAGAGAAGGCAAAAAUAGUCGGAUGCAACGACUUGAUAGCUAGAGCAGCCUUCCAAAAAGGACUUCCAGCAGACCAUCCGCUAUUCGGAAAAUUGAUCAUGAAAGAAGAUCUAACUCUGGCAGACUCUUUUGCUUUAGCAGAGAAGCAUGCACUUUGGGAUGAGGCUCGCCAAUGCACAUUCAAGGACUUGAAGAAGUACCUGACAUCAUCUCCCUAGAAGCAGCGGAUGGCUUAUUCGCAUGUUUGACGGUAUCUAAAAUAGCAAUAAGCUCUACCAUCAUGCGAGAAGAGCUGGGGGCCCGACUACCUGUAUUCUACAGUUUACCUGCAAUCAUCAUCAUGACGCACUAUUCCGUCGAAUCCAAACCGGCGACGAUAAAGGCGUAAACCCUGGCAGAUGCAAAGUUUUCUGAUGAACGCAACAACUAGGCCCAACGAUGCCCCGAAGGCAGUCGAGCACACUUUAGCUGCACAUAUUCCCUUAAUGGAGAUUUCUGGCAUUCGCAUGUCAACGACGCAUCCAACUACAAAGGCUUGCGAGCAGCCGUGGUUCGUGGCAACCGACUACUUCACCAAAUAGGUGGAAGCAGAGCCCAUGGCGACCACGAUUCAGACGGACAUAGAGCGCUUCAUAUGGAGGAACAUCAUUUACCGAUUUGGCAUCCCUUAAUCCAUCGUCACCAACAACGGCCUGCAAUUCGUGGGCAAAGAUUUGGCGAAGUUCUUCAAAAAAUAUGGCAUCAAGCAGCAUAUGUCCAUGCCGAGAUAUCCUCAAGGCAAUAGACAGGCCGAAUCAUCCAAAAAGAUGGAUCUCAUCUGGGAAGGUCCGUACAAGCUCAGCAGAAUAGGCGGUAAGAGUAAUUAUACCCCCGCUACCAUGAAACGAUAAAAAGAUCGAAAAGUAGUGGAGCGCCUACAAUAUGAAGAAGUACCAUGUGUGACCUCCGACUACAUCAAAGCCCGAAGACUUAAGAAGCUCGACGGGCACCACCUCACAAGUCGAGGAUUAUCUAGUUGUUAUGCAGUUCCUACCUUACAGCUAAGUUCUUGUUUGUUUCACUCGUUUUUCAAUGAGGAAUUCAGAAGUAAUCACAACUUGGCUCGGCUGCAUGCUUACAACAAGUGAUCACUCCAGCACUUCAAAAGAAGACUGUGCCCUUCUUAGGGACCCAUCGCAGGAAUUGCGCCCCCCGAUGGACCAACCAUGCUCUCCAGUGCGAGAGGGUAAACUAAUUGCUCUCCAGUGCGAGAGGGUAAACCAAUUCCCCGACACCCAUAUGGGUCAGCUCUCCAAGACGGGAGGAUAAACUUUACACUCCGAAUAUCUAGACGUGGAUGAGCCUGGCUGCCCUAGUAUAACUAGAUACACGAUAGCUUGCGCCGGGAUUCCUAGAAGUAGCCGCAAUGGUCUUUUUCAAGGCUUAGCUAACUGAAGGAUUUUGGGUCUCUUGGCCUAAUCCGUGGGGAACCGGGCCCUAGAGACGGAGAGGGCACAUUACGCAGUACAUCCGAUGGACGGCUGCCCUGGAAUCCUAAAGCUGCUACCGAGUGCACUAAGGUAGCCUACGAAUUCCGGAAGACUGCUUACGGUUUGCCCUUCGAGCAGUAAAGCCGCGCUAGACUUACACAGCCGCACAUUCUUGUGAAAGGUUAAACAAGCUAGCGCCCAUAUACGAAGUUUUAUCCACUGACGACAUGCUACGUAGUCGAUAAGCUUCACCUCUGCCAAGCGCGGAACAACCUACACCAAGUCUUAAAGUGUUGUGAUACUUGCUACGCAACCUACGGAAUUGAAGAAAGUCAAGGUUAACAGCCUAGUGGUUACACGGACUUGUCUUCUUCUGUAAGUAAGGCAUCCGGCUGCCAACCCUAUGGCUAACAACUUUGCAAAGUUCUACACCAACACCUACAGCUGCAUAGGCUACGCGAGCUUGUCUGCUUAUAAAAAAGUAGCAUGCCUGCCACUGGUCUAUCAAGUCUAAAGGUUAGGGCAUGAACAAAAGAAGUGAAGAUGAAGAAAAACGGAGGAAAACAUGUUUAUAAACAACUAGCAAAGGCCGAAGGAGUUCAAGCAAAACAAGAGCUACAAGGAAAAACAAAAGAAAAUCCUAAAGGCUACCUAAAAUACUACACUACAGCAGCUUGGACAUCCCACGACUACUCGGUCGCCACACCUUCAACUGCCGUAACACUCUUAGCAACGGCAUCAUCCGGCGCUUCACCCCCGACUGCCCCAGUCUGGGCACUAACUUCUCCAACUACUUCACCAAUGGAAGCCUUAAAAGUAAAAGCAAGCAAGUCUUUCGAGAAAAUAGAGAAGGUCUUAAAACCUCAAGCCCAUCAUUCUCACCCUUCAGCUGCUCAUUCUUCUUAAGCAGACUAACACAGACGCGCUGCAGCUCAUCCACUCCCUUCUUAGCAUAAGCAGCGAAACGAAGCUCAGAAAUUGCAAGCUUACGAUCUUGAAUCUGAGGCGAAUCAAUCUCAGCAGCAAAGGGAGCAGGCUUUGGCGCCACUUUAGCAGCAGAGUCCACCUUACCACUCUUCAUAAUAGCAAGUCUCUACAAAGGUGAACCGGACUUGGCUCCUAAAGAACGUCCUGGUACAGACUUCGGCACUGGGGGCAUGAUAAAACCUUUACGCUGAGCAAUCUUAUCCACAAUUGUACUAGCCAUUCUCAACAUGGAAGUGAAGGAAUUAUUUUGAAAAACAUGUUCAUUUGAGCAACAUCAUAUAGCAUGCAAUUAACAAUUAAAGGCGGAAUCAUGCUUGUAUGCACUCAAAAACAAAACAUGACCAUGAAAUUCAAAGCCUAGUAGAUUGGUGAACCAAUUAAUCAACUCAAAACAAAGUGAGUUGAAAUUAAUACCUUUGUAGAUUCCUCUUUGCAUAAGCAAAGGCUAAUCACCCAAAGAGAUAGGGUCUUCAUUCCUUGCUUCUUAGAUCCAUGGAUUUGGAUGGAAGAAUAGGUUCUCUAAGUUCCCAAAAUUGAGAACCUCUAAGUCUCUUCACCAAGGUUAGAUUGUAGAAGAAAUGAGUGACCUUGGAGUAGUAGGAUUGCUAGAUGUACCCUCCAAGGUGUUGGCCUCUUUAGAGAGAAAAUGGAGAGACAAUUCUCACCAAUUUUCCCCCAAAAUAAACCCUUAAUCACUUAAUGAAUAUUUGGCUAUAAAAUCAUUUAUAUAGUCACUUCUUUAAGUGACCUAAACAACCAAAACCCUAAUUCAUUUCAUCAUGGCCGGCCAUUUAGGGGAUUUUGGGCUUUUGGGCUUUAAUGAAUCUUCAUUCAUUAAAUUGUCAUACAACUUAAGUUAAUGGGCUUGACGUUCGAAGCCCAUUGGGCCUUAAGGUCCAAAACUAUCCCGAAGUCUUUAACGAACUUAUUCGUUUGAUUAAUUAACAUAUUAAUUAAUCCUUGCCAUAAAUAAAUGAUUAAACCUAUUUAAUCAUUCUUACUCAUUUCCGUUUAAUCUUCAAUCUCCACCUUUUAUGGUGUGCGAUCCAUUAGGUUCCUUUUAGCGAGGUAGUGGGCGAUUAAAACCAUUUUACAUCGAUUGUGAAUUGAAACUAUUUUCAAUUCUCCCUUUAGUGAUUACACACGUUUAGGGCUUCCACAAACCAUGAGUGACACCUAGCAGCAUAUCAUGGUUACCCAAGCUAAUCAGAAGAGGAUAGAGAACCUAUUCAGUUUGGGAUUACAAAAUGCAAUACGGUCCUUUCUCUAAUCUAAUACUCUUGACCACAUUGUUUGGUAUGAUAGUUUAUUUAUUCAUGUCUACUAUCCAAUGUGAUUCGUGUGCUUAUAUGAUUUCCUUGAAUGUGAUUUGGAACGCAUUCCCUAAUCUCAUUCAUACUCUGGCCAGAGAUUCCAAAUCAUAUCAUAGAGUAUUCUCCCUCAAACUGUUUGAAGGUUAGAGAUCCCUUGUUGCGCAUUCACUUGUCUCCAUAGCUAAGUGGCUUAACCCCAACGAUGCCGUGGACACCCCGAGGGGUGACUUUGACAUAAUCAAAGAUCAAGGACUUAACCACAAGACAACUGUGAUGCCUCAGGUCAAAGGACUACUUUGCAUUAUCCCAACCAUGAGUUCUUCAUGUGACAUGGAAUAUGAGAACUCUUCGUUGAUCACGUUCAGUGUACUCAUUCUCUAUUGAGCACCUACGCACUUGUCUUGAUGUCACACACACCAAUGACUCGAGACUAAUCACUCUCCCUGAGAGAAGACAUAGUACGUACCGAUCUUUACGGACUGUCAAUGCCCAAUUGACAAUCCUAUGAUCAGGAACAUUUAGGAUGUGUCUACGAAAGAAUGGUCUCAUGAAUCUAACUUCAUUAGAUUACAUUCUCCCAAUCACAUAUUCCUUGGACUUUAUCGUUUAAGCAUAUAACAUUUAUAUGAGACGGCUCAAACAAUAAUCUUUGCCCUUUAUAUGUAAAACUAGAUUAGUUUAACAUGUGAAAUGUCCGUAAAGUAUCAUCAUAUGAUUGGCUUUAGGGCACAUUUCCAACAGGAAGACGCCACAUGCUCAGAUCUAGCAGCCUUAUUUUUCUUCCCAUUAGAAGAAGUCAUGUCAAUCACAUACCUCUCGGUAGCAAGGGGACCCUCAUGAGCAGCAGAAGAAGUCUUCAGUUUUUUCUUAACUAGGCAUCUCAUGAGCAGGCGGGGAAGAUCUCUUCUUUCCAUCUUCAUUCAUAGUAAGCUCCACGAUAGCGAUCAGACGAGCCAAUACAUCCGCCUUGAUCCUCUUUACCUCAUCUUUCUGGAGCAGCCCACCUUUCUUUCAGCAAAGAAGACUAAGCAGCCAACGACAUUCAUGGUACUCAGCAGGGGAGCUCAACCCAGCAUUCCAGCAGGCAGAAGGCAUGCAUGCCCAACAUUCCAGCAGCCCAUGAGACCCGCAAUCUCCUUAUUUCUCUCAAUCGCCAGCCUGGCCCGAGUCAGGUCCAAGAGCCCAAAGGACAUGAGCCAUGCGGCUCGCCUAACACUGUGCCCUAGCGCCACAAUCCUCGACCCCAGCUGCACAAGCUGCCCUUGGCUCAAGCCAAGCCAAGCUGCCCAAGCAGUGGUCCCUACCACGACAUCUCCUUAGUUCAUGCCGAGCCAGCUCCUAGCCCCUGCCAGCCGACGUGCCGCACCACCCCGACGGCUACCUCGCAAUAGCACUAUCCAAGAAUAAGGCAAGAAAAAUUAAAUUUUUCUUACAUUGGUGCGGCACGAAGAAGACGAAGAAAGCAACGAAAGACGGUCCUUUGCACGGGCAAGAUGUAUAAGAUUGCUAGAGGAGGGGGAACAAAUAUCCUCUAAGCUAUCUCUCUCUUGUAGGGUAGAAUAAAUCGCUCUCCAAAGUUGAUUUAAUAACCCACUUAAGGUGGACUUAAAUAGGCUUUGAGAGAAAUUUAUUUCCCUUUCCUAGAAGGAUCUAAUUUCCUAUUAAAGAGAGAAUCUACAUCAAAAUAGGAAGCAGUCCUAAGUUUCCUAAAGCAAGAAAAUCUCUACACCUGGCGCCCUUUUCUGCGAGCAGCCCAACAGGUGUGGGGGCAUUUGUGGAGCCAAAAAUAUUCACAAGGCGACACGUGGGUUUUUUGGACAAAAAGGACAAAAAUACCCUCGAGGCAUACCGGGUCUCCUACACGCGAGCAGUGGAGAAUCAUCCAUCAACCAAGUCAGAAGUACCCAAAAUGGGUAACAAUUCAAAACCUAUUUCAUAUAUGUUUUUACCUCAUUUUUUCCUUAUUCAAUUAGCCAUUUAUUUCAAACAUUCCAUAACAUCCUCAACCAAUUAAUAUAAUCAAUAUAUUAAAGGCUAUUUACAUCACCAAAUCACCCCAAAAUCACACCAAGGUCCGGCCAUUCCCAUCCAAAAAGAGCCUAUCAUAUUCUCUACCUUUUCCACCAUUUUCCCUUUUUAAUUACCCUAAUUAACUAGCCAAUUAAUUCCAAAAACCACCAAAACAUUCAUUUUAUGUUUAAAUAGCCAAAUAAAUUGGCUAAUUAAACCUAAAUUAAACCUAAAAACCCUAGCCACCUCCUAACUCUAUAAAUAGACACCUAUUCUCAUCAAAAAAUCAAUUCCAACACUUUGGCAAAAAUCCCAAAAUUCUCUAAACACUCUUUCUCUCUAAAUUCUAACUUUGGCAUCGGAGGUUCUUCGGCCAAAGCCCCCCCCCCCAUUCAUCGUGGGCGCAUGAGGCUCUUGGCCUUAACCUAAGGUGUUAAUUGUUUUGUAGGUGCAAAAUCGUCCAAGAUCGAGGAGGAAGAAAUUUGCAUCCACAGAGCUGGAUCAAACGGAGUAAUGGUGCCACCAUCAUUCUGUUACGUGGCAAUAGGCAAAGUCAGAACGACUUCGUCAAGAAUGACCAUACUUGUUCCGCAAGAUAAAAUGAUAUGAUCCAACAUGGAGUUAGCUAGAUCCUCUACAUAUCUUAGGGUUCCUACAAUCUAGAAAUUAGCAUGCGCUGCAAGUAAUCACACUCCAAAGAAGACGUGACAUCUACUUCUAGAUAUCCCUUAGGAUUGUCCAGACUUAGUACGAGGGUUCUACCCUAAAAAAGUUUGUCCCUCUCCCGGUUGGUAUAAAUACACAUUUCAAGGGUUCAUCUCUAGUAACGCAACCCUCACCCACUAAUUCUCUUGCCUACUACUUGAGUCUUAUAUUUGCAUACUAACUUGACUAUCGGAGAGCCUUUGGCCGUCACACACCCCAUCCCGGUCUUAGGCUUGUUCACAAUUGUUUUCUAUUUUACAGGUUACCCGGAUUUAUGACUCCACCACUCACGGAGGUGCACGAAUUUGAUUCCAAUAGACAUCGACAUCGACUUCGUGCAUAGAUCGACGAGGAUGUCUUGGGAUCGAAUCAGCUUGACUUCAAUCGUCUAAUGUUUUGUUGAUGAGUUAAGAAAAAAUCGGGGGCACAAUAUUCUUGGUGGUAACUUCUUGGAUCGUUUGAUCUAUUAAAGUCGCAUAGUGCUUCGAAUUGCCCAACGAGAGCUCCCACGCAUGUCUACUAACGUGUGGCAUAGCGAGUUGAUGUGAGCUUGACAAGAUUUGAAAAUGUCGCAACUAAGGUCAAUUAUGUGGACCUACAAUAGAUUGCGAUACUUCCUAAUAGUAAAGACAUAACCAUUUGGGAGCACCUUGUGCAAGUUUGAUAUGUAACCAGCGUCAUCAAUACUAAUGAGGCAAACAUAAUUUCGAGGAUCAAGGGUUUUGAUCUAGGGCUGGGCUGGGCCCAAUUUUGAAAGGACCAGACUAAACUCGGGUUUAAAAGAAACGAGCCGGUUUGGGGCGUACAAUAAAUUCUAAUACAUGAACCGAACCUAACCCGACCUGUUUGAAAUAUGCUGGUUCGGGCCGGGUCCAAGGGUAAUUUUUUUUGUUUUUAUUCUCUUCUUCUUUAGCUCUCUUGAAUCUCGAUCGUUCGAGGAGAUGUCGGAUCAUGGCAACAAGAAUGCAAGCCUUCUAAUUCUCUUAUUCUUCUUCAAGUAUCUCGUUCCCAUUUAACCCUUUCAAUCCCUACACAAAGAUUAGGAAUUCUUCCCCAAUCUCAAACCUUCAAUCCAACCUUUUGACGUUCCAAUAUAGCAACACUGCAAUAACACCUAUAUUUACUAUUUGUACCAUACUUGACCAAUCCCGAAACAACUGAGCACCGGUCAACGUUAUACCGUCAAGGACCCAGAAGAGCUUCCCUUCAACCAGGAGGCUAAUCAUAAUGCGACACGUGUCGACAUCAGAAGCCAAUCACAGCGCGACACGUGUCAACAUCAGAAGCCAAUCACAACACGACACGUGUCAAUGUUAGAACAAAACUAGAAACUCUCUUCUAUAAAUAGGGAUCAUUCUCCCACAAUAAUCUCUAAUGUCAUUUUGUACUAAACUAUUCACUAGAACUCACAAAAUGAGAGCUUGAACCUAUGUAUUUGUGUAAACCCUUCACAAUUAAUGAGAACUCCCCUACUCCGUGGACGUAGCCAAUCUGGGUGAACCACGUAUAUCUUGUGUUUGCUUCUCUGUCUCUAUUCAUUUACAUACUUAUCCUCACUAGUGACCGAAGCAACCAAGCGAAGGUCACAAAACCUGACACUUUAUGUUGUACCAAAGUCCUUACUGAUUUUGUGUAUCAACAUUUGGGGCCAUCUGUGGGAAUGACACUUAUUCUCACUCUCUUCAGCUUUGUCAAGCUGGUUUCCACCGCUCGUACACUCUCUUUUGGCCAAGCAUCUCUCUCCGACAUGGGGAGCGAAAGAAGCCAUAGCACACAUAAUGACACCCCCCUUGGACCUAGUAUGAAGCAACGAAAGCAGGAAGGAAAUAGAGUUACUCUUCAAGCUAAAGUCGAUGAGCUAGAGGUUCAGAACAACAAGAUAACAAUGAAGAAUGAGGUCCUCCAGGAACAAUAUGAAAAACUUUUCGAGAUGCUUCAUGAGGCUAGGCGUGCUCAAACACACAAGCUCGUCGCCCCUGUUGAGGUCAACAAUCAUCUGAAUGCCCCCCAACACGGAGGGUCACUGAUAUCCAACAUGGACAUCCCUGAUAGGGAUCGAGCUACACAUCAAUGUGAUAAUCAACAUGAGACUUCUCUCAACCCAGCUGCUUCAACCCGAAGCAGAAGAAGUAGAGGAAAACACCUCCUCACAGAGGGAGUGAAAGGAUCAAAAGUCGUCUAUCGCGAUUGUCGAGACUUCCUAAAGCAACGUCGAUAGAAUCUCAUCCACAUAAGCUCGAAGAUCAAUGACCCAAGAGUUUCUGAAAGACUGGGUCCUCUUCCACGACCUAGGCCAGCAGCCAAUCUAGGGAAUGGGCAACAGGUCCCAGAAGAACAUGAAGGUACAGGGGACUCGAAAAUAUUUCGACAUACUCACUCUAGGAGUCAGUGUGGCGAGUCCAAGGAAAAAUCACGCUAUCUUGAUCAAACUUUCCUACUUCCAAGAGGCGAUGGGGACUUACGGAAGAAAACUUCAAUGGUGCACGACUCCACUCAGGACCCCCUUCUCCUACAGCUCCUGGAGGAAGUAAACAAGUUGAAGGCUGAACGUCAAGCUGAGAUACCUGACUGGAACCAACCCAGGCCUGGCACCCUCACAAGAAGGAUCCUCAAGACCCCCUCCAAGCAAAGACAAAGCAUAAGCUUGACUUACAACUCUAUACUGGAAGGGAAGACCCGAUUGAACACCUUAACCUCUUUAAGUCCACCAUGGUAUACCGGAGACACACCGAUGAAGAACGGUGCAUUCUCUUCCCCUCCAUCCUCUCUGGCGAAGCUUUAAACUGAUAUUGCUGUCUUCCACCUAAGACAGUAGACUCAUUUGAAGAGUUGAGGAAGCUGUUUGUCUCUCAACACAUCUUCCAGACCGAUCGCUUGUAUUCUGCAGAUGACUUGUACACUAUUCACCAGAAGCCGGACGAGUCAUUACGAAAGUAUGCUGGCCGCUUCAGCCAUAAGUAUUCUCGCUGCGCUGAGGCAGAUGACAAGACCGCCCUCAAGGCCUUAACGGCAGGCUUACGUGACUGUUUCUUCAAGUACAUGAUCAAUGCCAACACUUGGAAGACUUACUCUGAGGUGAUGACAUAAGCUUACAACCAUGCAUCUGCCGAAGCAAAGACAUAUCAAGGGAAACCCCCUACAGUCACCCCUUAUCAGCAAGUAGGGAGUGGAGGCCAGAUCUAACCGAAUGAGAAGACCUCAACCUUCCAAACGGUAGCAGCACACCCCCUGCCUCAUUUAAUGCUUCGCCAAGUCAACAGACAUAUCAAUCCCAGGGCAAAAGGAAAGAUUUCCAUCCUCACCAAUCUUAUUUUAAUAAAAAGAAUAAGGGGCAUUAUCGCGAUAACUCAGGAUAUCGUCACAAUAACGCCCGUCCCCAGGCAGUCAACGCAGUGGGCUAAUCACGUGUCAAGACAGGCCCUACCCCGAGGUAUGAGACAUACACACCUUUGAACGCUACAUGCGCGGCCAUCUACCCCAGUAUAGCUCACCUGAUACCAAAGCCAAAGCCAAGACAACCAGAUUACAAGUCCACGAAGAACACGGGCAUGUUUUGUUGCUACCACGAGUAUAAUGGCCAUGAUGGCGAGAAAUGCAUCAUCCUCCGUGAUCAUAUUAAAGCUUUAGCACAUGAAGGAAAAAUUGAUCAGUUCCUCCUUCACCCUCUAAAAGAUAACCGUAACUAAUGCCAGGUGAAUGUGAUAUAUUCCAUAAGCGGCGGCACACCCAUGUCUGAAUCUUCCAAUAGGGCCAUGAAAAACAGUGAAUGAACUUUGAGACCUGGCCAUCAAGUGUUUCAUGUGGAAGACAUCAGGGGAGGCAAGUAUCAAAAGCCUAACUGGGAUCCAAUAUGUUUCUACCCUGAGGAAGAAAGAGGUAUCAUCUACCCUCACAACGACCCGCUGAUCGUGGAGGCUCACAUAGCAAAUUUUGAUGUGAAACGAAUCCUGAUAGACACAGGUGCUUCAGUCAAUAUCAUGUUUGCUGAAGCUUUCAAGGCAUUUAAUAUAGCUGAACACUUGCUCGAUCGCUCGAUUUCUCCUCUGAUAAGCUUCUCUGGCGAUAUCGUACAACCUUUAGGGAGUAUACAUUUACCCCUCACCAUUGGUACAGGCCCCUACACAGCUACUAUUACCUUCCUAGUGGUCAAUUGCCCGACGGCAUACAAUGUCAUCUUUAGGCGCACAGGCAUCAAUGAUCUCAAGGCCAUGGUAUCUACACAUAUGUUAUUGAUGAAGUUUCCAACCCCUUUCAGCAAUGGAUACAUCAGGAGAGAUCAACUUAGUGCUCGAUCAUGUUACAACACUUUAGUUAAGCAACAACACCUACAUGUCCCCAAGGAGACCCUCUCUAUACAUAACCAGGUAGUAAAGACUAGUCCAGAUGAAGCCAACUCGGAUCUUCAUGAUGGCAACAGUCAACCCGACGACCCUCGAGAUGACUCAUUCACCCAGCAAGCACAACCCGCUGAAGAGUUAGAAAAUGUCUCUAUCUCCAAAGACCAUCCAGAUCACAUGGUGAAGAUUGGUACCACUUUGUCACCACCCCUUCGGUUGUCGAUGAUCUCCUUUUUGCAAGAGAACGCCGAGGUCUUCGCUUGGUCAUAUAAAGAUAUGUCGGGCAUCUCUCCCGAUAUCAUUUGUCACCACUUAAGUAUUGAUCCCAAGACCAAACCAGUAAAACAGAAGCGAAGAUCUUAUGAUGUUGAACGAUAUGAGGCGAUGAAAGUAGAAAUUGAAAAACUUAAGGACAUAGGCUUCGUCCGUGAAGUCAAUUACCCAACAUGGGUAGCAAAUGUUGUCCUUGUUAAGAAAAAUCCGACCAAGGAAAGUCUCCUGCUUCAAAAGGUCUUGUGGAGAAUGUGUGUCAACUACACCGACCUAAACAAAGGAUGCCCGAAGGAUAGUUUCCCCCUUCCUCUCAUUGAUAGACUUAUAAACUCUACGGUAGGGUGUGAGCUCUUGAGCUUCAUGGACGCUUAUUCAGGAUACAACCAAAUCCUCAUGAACCCCUCAGACCAAGAACACUUAGCCUCCACUACUGACAGGGGACUAUAUUGCUACAAAGUCAUGCCCUUCGGUCUAAAGAAUGCAGGGGCAACUUAUCAAAGGCUAGUUAGUUCAAUGUUUACCGAACAAAUCGGGAAGAGCAUGAAAGUUUAUGUUGACGAUAUGUUAGUCAAGAGCAAACAUGCCGACCAGCAUAUCACCAACCUAUAUGAAACCUUCACCAUUCUGAAGAGGUAUUGAAUGAGGUUGAACCCCAACAAAUGUGCCUUCGGCGUGGGCUCUGGCAAAUUCUUAGGCUUCAUGAUUAGCCAAUGAGGCAUUUAAGCUAACCCCGAAAAGAUCAAAGCAAUCCUCGACAUGAAAGAGCCAGUAACUUCAAAAGACAUCCAAAGCCUUACUGGCAAGGUGGCAGCCUUAACCAGAUUCAUCUCUAAGGCCACAGACAGAUGUGCUCCUUUCUUCAAAACACUCAAGGGAAAUAAGAAGUACAUUACAUGGACGGAGGAAUGUGCCAAGGCAUUCAGGAACCUCAAAGAGUACAUGAGUAAAGCCCAUCUGCUCUCCAAACCAGAAGUUGGUGACACUCUCAUUAUCUAUCUAUCGAUUUCGGCUUCAGCAGUCAGUUCUGUUCUUAUUCGAAAGGACAGUGGUGUCGAACGGCCCGUCUACUAAUCUAGCAAAGCCCUACAAGAUGUCGAGACACGAUACUCCAACAUUGAGAAAUUAGCUAUAGCAUUGGUCAUGUAUGCUCGAAAACUUUGCCCUUAAUUCCAAGCACACGCCAUCAUCGUGCUUACCAAUCACCCUCUUCGACAGAUACUCUAGAGUCCUGACACGUCUGGGUGAAUGAUCAAAUGGUCGAUAGCAUUGGGUGAGUUUGACAUUGCCUACCAACCAAAACCAGCCGAAAAGGGUCAAGUAGUAGCAGAUUUCAUCGCCGACUUCACAUAUCCUGUUGACAUUGGUUCUACACCUGAAGCAGUAGCUUCAUUACCAUCGGAAGCUCAGAAGAUAGAAUCAACAACCCCAGCAUGGAGUCUGUAUGUUGAUGGCUCAUCCAACCAAGAAGGCUACGGAGCAGGAUUAGUCCUCACUACCCCUGACAAAGUGGCGAUAGAAUACGCUCUUCAUUUAAAAUUUCCAAACUCAUCUGAGGUUGAACCCCUAAUCAUAUCACUCUGAGUCCUACCGCCAUUUUCUGCAUCUCCAAACUCAUCAUCACCCUGAUGACUCUGCUCAUCAGCACUAGCCUCAUCGCCAGACUCAUCUACACUGCUAGAAUAAACUACAAGGUCGAAGGUUUCACCUUUUCGAUGAUGCUCAUCUAUUUCUUCACGGUAUUUUCGAAGAACACUUCCAUCAUCAUAACGAUCAAGGACAUCCAUCCACUUCCUUUUUUCAAAGUGAACUUCCCGGGUACAUCGAGGUCUAAGGACAUGGAGAAAGGCCUGGGAACCCAAGAACUCCUUCACAGCAGCUUCCUUCUCAGUCGGGAUACUACUCUUCAGCUCAGAAACCUCAACCAAGGCACUAUCCAACUCCCCUUUAACCUUGGAAACCUCGAGCAUAGUUGUCUCCAACUCUUUCUUAGUUGCCUCCAACUGUACCUUGAGUCUCAAGUUCUCACCAUUUCGCAUCUUCAAACUCUCAAAAUGUUGAUCCUUGACUUGGAUGGCCUCAGCCAAAGCUUUGCUCGUCUUCCUGGCAUCAUUCACAAGCUGCUUAUUCUCUUUCAAUUUCACCUUGCACCGCUCAGCCUCUCGUAGUCUGUCGUGAUACUCAGCCAUGACCUGCAUGACAAGACGAUCAUCUCUACCAAAAUAAUGCUAAUAAAGAAGAGAAAACAAGGAAAUGACAAAGUAACACUCACAUAUGAAGACAGCUUCAACAUCCGGUCACAAUCCGAUUCAUCUUUAGCUAAGGGCUUUCCGAGCUCAUCAAAAGUGAAUCGACGCCUUGCCAGGCAAUUGUUGAUAUACCCAAAGUCCUUUGGCUGCAUGGCAACCUUCAAAUCCUUCCAAGGGACACUGCCAACCUAUUCCUUAUCUUUACCCUCGCUGCUAGAACUAGGAUCACCUUUUUGCCCAAUGUGCUCCCUAACUGGAGGAAAGAUAGGAUUGAUAGUAGGAAGAGGAGGCAGCAAUCACCUAUCUUCCCUGGCAACUAUGGCAGCAGCACAUCCAAUGGCCUCAACUUCAGCUUUCUUCAAGGCAGCAACCUUGAGGACUUCUUCUCGAGACUUAGUUUUAAUGAUUGGUCUCACUCGGUGCUUGCAAGCUUCCUUGUGAAACAGGAUGUCUUCUGAAGGAACUAACAUGGGCAUUCUCCUUUUCUUGGUGCUAGUCUCCACUUUCUUGCCCACCUUCUCCACUGAACAAGGAAACUCAAAGUAAGGAAUACCACAUUAUAUAUCUAUAUAUAUAUAAAAAAAAAAGGAGGGAAGAACAAGGAUCAAGUGAAGGAUACAACUUACUCGCUCGUCUCUGGCACUCGGAAACUAAGGGCUGGAAACCCUACUUUCGAAACAAGGGUCGUAGCUUACCCAAGUGUCUAUCUUCUUUGGGCACCCUCAGCACUUUCUCUACAUCAGCUAGCUUCUGUCCGGAGAGUUUGAUGGUGCCUCGUGUCACUGCAUGAAGAAAAAUCUUAGAAGCAAGAGAAAAUCACAACAAUAGCAAAUAAUAAGAAAAUGGAUACAUUACAACCUACAGUUUGGAAGUGAGUAGGAACACGUCGCUCAGGUGUGACACCCUUAGCAUGCUCCCAAUCAUUAUAAAGAAAGCACCAAUAUUUCUUCCAUGUGCAGUACGCCUUUCUCUUAUCAAAGACAACACGCUCUCUCUCGCUCCGACAUGCACAUUCGGCAUAACCAGUACAUGCUUUCACCGGGCGCAUCUUAUAACAGUAGCGCCAUUGAUGGAAGGAAGGCUCACCUAAUCCACACUUCAUCCAAAUAAUAUAAAACCCGAUCAAGGUAUCCUAGAAACCAGGGUUGAGUUGCCCAGGUGCAUAACCAAUAAAAGACAGCAUCCAUUGCAACCACGGAUGCAAACGUAAAUUUACCCCCAAGGUCCCUAAUGUCUGGUUAUAGAACAUAACAUGACCCUUGGGCGGCUCAGAAGGCAAUUCUUCAUAACGCACCAAACGUAUUCCUACACUACGGGGGAUACUACAUGAUCGCCUUAGGGCCUCAAGCUGCUUUUCGCUAUCUAACAAGUUAUUUUCUAAAUGGUCCACUGUGAACUCAGAGCGAAAUAUGGGUAUGGCGUCAUAAACAACCCCCUCACCCACUAGCAUGGAGUAAGAACCAAUAUUGGCUAAGGUUUGACAAUUGUGAGGAUUAUCUAACGUUUCUUUCGUACAAGACUCUAACAAAUGCCAUGAAGACCCUGACAUUGCAGGCUCAAACCUAGAGCUAGAGCUAGAUGAGCCCUCAUCACUAAGACUUCCAGACUCCGACACCUUUCCAUACCACAUUCACUAUUCUGUCAACAGCAAGAGUAUCCCAUAUCAUCAGGGUUGAUCAUACUCUAGAUUUGAUGGACUUGUUUUGACCCUCAAAUUCUUGAGUCGACUCACUAAGGCGUCGUGAACUGCACGUGCCGAUUCACCACUCUUGAAUCAAAUCCUUAAAGAUCAAGCCACCAACGGUCCUUGAAGAUAUCACAAGCCCGAUUCAAGAUCAAGUGUUCACCACCCUGAAUCAAAUCCAAUUCAAGAAUAAACCUGUGGAAAGUUACUUCUUCAAAAGCAAAAGUAUCUCAUAUCAUCUCUUCUCAUUGUUCUUCCCUUUAUCCUUCAUGCUGCCUGCAAGAUAGGGAGAAUGAGAACAAUCAGCCAGAACUCGAAAUCACAUAUCUGAUCUGGGACUGAUUGCUUGGAGCUCUAAUUGUUUACCUUAUCUGUCACCUCUUUCGGCAGAUCUCCUAGCUCGGCGACUUGGGGGACUCCUACUACAUGGUUUGUAUCGCGUUUGACCAAGCCUAAAACUACAAGUAAGCUUCAAGUGAAAAUGAUACAUUACCUUGUGCAUCUCCACCGGUUAAAGACACCACCCCUGAAUGGAGGAAGCGUACUUCCAGAGAAGAUGCCACAUCUACCUAUGAGAAAGAUAAGGCAAGUGAAGACGAUACCACACCUCGGUACUCAGAAGUUUCAUGAUUACUCAGCGGCUUGGAUCUUGCAAGUCCCCAACCGAGGAGCUUCCCUCACUUGGGAACUUAGGGGAGCACUGUUUGUACCAUACUUGACCAAUCCCGAAACUACUGAGCACCGGUCAACGUUAUACCGUCAAGGACCCAGAAGAGCUUCCCUUCAACCAGGAGGCCAAUCACAAUGCGACACGUGUCGAUAUCAAAAGCCAAUAUAGCGCGACACAUGUCAACAUCAGAAGCCAAUCACAACACGACACGUGUCAAUGUCAGAACAAAACUAGAAACUCUCUUCUAUAAAUAGGGAUCAUUCUCCCACAAUAAUCUCUAAUGUCAUUUUGUACUAAACUAUUCACUAGAACUCACAAAAGGAGAGCUUGAACCUAUGUAUUUGUGUAAACCUUUCACAAUUAAUGAGAACUCCCUUACUCCGUGGACGUAGCCAAUCUGGGUGAACCACGUAUAUCUUGUGUUUGCUUCUCUGUCUCUAUUCAUUUACAUACUUAUCCUCACUAGUGACCGAAGCAACCAAGCGAAUGUCACAAAACCUGACACUUUCUGUUGUACCAAAGUCCUCACUGAUUUUGUGCAUCAACAUAUACAUAUCCAACAAUACUGCAAUAAGUCAAAAAUGCAAUUCAAAUUUUAAGAAAACCCUAAAUGGUGGCAAUAGAUUAAUCAUCAAUGUAAAAAUUUUAAUUUAAAAACCCUAAAAUCCCUACACCAGAAAUUCACAUUAAUAACAAAACCCUCAUUCAAAAUUAUCUAAAUUUUAGAAGGAUGAUGGCUGGUAGCAGUGUCCUCGACGGCGGUGAUGGGGUGAUGGUGGUUGCGACGGUGGUGGUGUUGUCGAAGAGGAAAGAAUCGAGCCGUCGUGGUUCUGGAACUUGGGUUCUCUAGGAUGUCAUCGAGGAGGAUGGCUGGAUGGGUGGUGUCAUUGUGUUGGUCACGACGACGGUGAUGGGCUAGGUGAUUUAUGUGAAGUGAGGCUGGUGAGCACUAUCGUCAAGGAGAAGAAGAUGAUUGAGAGCUGUAGUCGAGGGAGUCGAGGGAGGGACAGAUGGUGGAGAGGUGGAGUGACUGAUUAUGGUAACCUGGACUUGGGAUGACUAGGGUAGAAACUAAUGGUUGAGAUUGGAUGAUAGGUUAUCAUUCAAUCUCGACCGUUCAUUAUAAUUAGAAACAGGUCAAUUCGGGGCCCCAUUUUUCUAAGUAUAUUAGAUCAUUAUUCAAAGAUCAGUCUUACAAAAAAAAUAGCCAAAUCUGAUAACAUUGAAUUAUCUAACCAUAACCAAACAAAUAGAUGAACACCAUUUUUUUGGUUAAGAAGAAAAUUAAGCCAAUAUUUGCAAGAGUAAUAUUCAAAAGAUGAUUAGAAAAAUGAACUGUUCAAAUAAUAAAACGAAGUAGUGGAGUUAGUCCAAUCGAAUGAUUAGUGACGUAUUAACCUAUAAUAGGUGAAGCAAAAUGGUGUGAGUUUAUCAUUUCUCAUUUGAAAAAAAAUCUCCCCAUUUAAAAAAUGCCCCAUUUUAUUUAUUUCUCAUCCAAUGAUUCGGUUAAACAAAUAAAAUAUUAAACCAACUAGCAUUCAAUGGUUCAGUUUUGACUAAUACCACCUUCGAAACCAAACCAUUGUUAAUUGAUUUGGUUUAGUCAUUUAAACCUAUUUUAGUAUACCAAUAACAAAUGUCCAACAUUUUAAGACUCAAGAGUUUUAAUUUGUCUAAGCAUCCAUGCAUCUCACACGUUUGAAUACGUUCAAAUGAUAAAGUUUUUUGGAACAUAAAAAUUUCAUCAAGAGCUAGGACUAAUUACAAUUAAACACAUGCUAGCAGACGAUUUAUUAGUUAUAAUCUCACAUAAACAUAAAAUACAAACAAAUAUUCUAAUUGUUUAUAGUCCUUACAACUUUGUACGUGAGAACACUUAUGAUAUGUGAAUGGUAAAUAUCCAAAUGACCUAUAAUAUAUUAACAUGUAUAAAAUAAAUAUCAUAAUUUUAAUACAAGUGUUCAUGGGCGAAGCCACCAUAAGCUUACAGUGGUCUUUUGACCCUUGUAAAGUUUUCAUGCUUCUCAUUAAAAAUAUAAUAUUAUAUAAUAAUAAUAAUUAUUAUUAUUAUUUAUCUUAUGCCUACUUGUCUCCCACUAAACAACCUAAGCCUUACUUGUUAGUUGACCCGUAGAGUCCCACAAUGGCAGAUUUAGAAUGAUCGGAAUAUGCUUAUUUUCAGACAGGUGAACCAUAUCUGUCUAAAACAAUCUCCUUGUAUGUCAUUAUUGGUUUGGAUUUAAUUAUAAUGCUAAGGAUGCUAAGAAGAAGUCAGGAUUCAUUGCAUGGUGUCAUUAAAUGGCAGUAUUGAAGCCCCCUUUUAUUAAGAUCAACUUUGAUGAAGUCGUGGUAGAUAACAUUGGAAUUGCUCGCUUUGAAAUUAGAGACAGAAAUGGAUAGCCUAGGAUUUUGGGAGCUAGAAACCUGGGUGAUGUCACUAUCCUAAUGGUGAAGCAUUAGCUUUCAAAAUAUUUACUUAGAGAGAGAUUCUAAGCUGGUUAAAGGCGAUCCCAAACAAAUGCGGUAUUUUUAAGAGUUUAAAACCAAUCAUUGGUAAUAUUCAAUGGAUGACUUCGUUCUUCUAUAUGGUUUAAGUGGAAGCAUACCUACUGGAAAACUAAUUUCAUCGAUGAUGCUAUUGCUAGUAUUGGUCUUUCUAUGCAUGAUAGGCAUAUUUGGGAUAGGUAUAGCCCUGCUUCAUCUUUCGAAUUCUUUUUUGAAUAAACAAAUCAAUUAGGUCAUUAUUGACUCUUAAAUUACAAUUUUCUUUGUGAUUAUGUUGUUCAUUAGUGAGAAUUAUUAUUUUCUCUAAUUAAAAAUAUUGUAACCUAUAGAGCUGGAGAGGUAGUUAAGAAUGACCAUACACCAAUUGUCAUCUUUAAUACCAAGAGGCGGAUCAAAUGAUAGUGCUCCAAAACGUAAUUGUCAAUAAAUUAAUUUGUAAGAUCUUUCCACAAUCCCUAGGUUACGAAUUCAAUUUUCAAAUUAUAAUUCUAAUGUUCAAGAUCAGGUGCAUAGAGCCUACUUACAAAACGGUCAUUGCUAACCUAAAAAUCAUAAGCGAUCAAUCUUGUACUUGUUCUACAACAACAUUAAUAUGCAUGUCUUUAUAUUGCAAAUCAUUGCUAACCUCAUUAACAACCAAGAUUCCGUACAAAUAGUCAUGCCAAGUAAAAAAAUCAACAUUCCCUAUCUCAUAUAUUGCCAACGAUUUAGCUACACUUCUUGUUACUAAGUCAAUUGUCACUUUCUACUAAUUGGAGUAAAGCCUUUUUUAUUUGCAAAGGUUGUGAUUGAAUUGUUUUAACACUUACAAUACGGCUUUUCCAUAGUGUGGCUGACAAUGAUUUGAGUGUCAAUUCUUUUAUGUUUUCUUUUAGAAAGCCAUUGGAUUGUAGAAUUAGUGAACAGGUUGUACAUACAUUGUACUGUUCCAAAAAAGUCUUUGACUUUGCCACAAGAGUUUAUCAUAUCAAAAAGUGUUAUGUUAAGAAUAUGGCAACCACAUGGAGUGUACAUUGCCCUAAGAUUUAUAUUCAAAAGUCUCUUUUGUAUACCUUGGUGUCUCCCUCUUUUAUUUGAUCCAUUAUCAUAUAUUUGCCCUCUCACAUCAUUAGUAUCAAGAUCAAGAGCUUUUAACACAUUCUGCAACUUUUCAAAUAUUUAUUAUCCUAAAGUGCUAUUCACAUUUAGAUAUUUCAAAAAAUAUUCUUCUAUUUUUACUGGAGUACUAUUCACAUUCACACAUCUUAAGAUCAAAAUCAUAUGUUCUUGGUGGCUAAAAUCAACAAUAUAAUCAAGUAUCACAAUAAAAUAUUUAGCUUAUUUUGUUUUUUAAAUGAUUGCACCUUUGAUUUCACAAGAUAUCAAUAAUAUCAACUCAUUUUAGAUGGUACGGCUAAAAUAAUAAUAAUGAAUCUAAGUGUUUUGAAGACGUUGAUGAUUCAUCAAUGUAUAAGAUUCAUCCAUGAUUUCACAAUGCAAAUCAACCAUCGUAGUAACUCCCUCCAAUGCUCUUUUUUUUUUUUUGGUCUUGCACAACUUUGUUAAUUGUUCCAUUUUAUUUGUUUGAAAUCUAAGACGCAAAUCUAUCCGAGUGGUUAUGUUUGAGAUGCGAUUUGAAUUGUUUUCAUGCUCUUUAAGCCUCACACUGAGAUGUGUCUGAUAUUUAUGGCCCUCAUUUGCUAAUUAACCUUUGAGAGGCCCUUUCUUGAACAAUUAGUAAAACAGAACAAUUUAUCAGCAUCCUUUAAAUACACUAGUAAUCGCGAUCACAUUUCUAUCCAUUUGAUAAAUAUCGAGUGUACAACGCUGCAUUAUAACACCUAUUAAACUGAUCUUUAAGAACUCUCUAAUUAAUAAUUCUUUUGCAGGACCUUUUUCUGCUAACAAAUUCAUUUAUUUGAGAUCAAGACUAUCCCAAAUUUGAGGAUCAUAAAUUUUGAGGGAAUUAACUCACUCAAUUGUUCAGUGAACUAGAGCAUUCUCAUGAUUCAUUCUCAUCAAGGUCAUCAACUUCAUCAUGGCCCAAAUCAUCAACUAAUUCCUCAUUGUCAUUAUAUUUACAUUAACGAAAUCAUCUAUUGAACUUUGUGGUUCUUUUUGUUUAACAAAGAACCUAUCAAUAACUCAUUUUUUAGACUGAGUAAAAAAUUGAUAUUUUCUAGUUGGUGCCAUCUUUUAUAUCUCAAACAAGAUCACAAUUAAAUUAUAGUUGGUAUAAAUAGUGAAACCUGAUAAUCCUCAAUAUGUGUGCGUCUAGUGGUUUUUUGUGACCACUCCUCUCUUGCCAUGAUGAUUAAUUGAUUAAUUUCUAUGAAUUUUGCACAGAAAAGUACAAAAGAAAUCAUUAUAGAUGAGGGAUACCUAAAUCUUCAAAUUCCAACUUAAUAUACUUGAACUAAUAUAUAUCUUACUUUAAUCAAACUCUAACCACUUGAAUUGUUUCAAUGGUUUGAAAUAUUUUUCCAAUUGGCAUGAAGAACAGUAUGUGAGAUACAUGAAAAGGGAAAAAGGAAAAUAAAAGAGAGAGGCGUCUGACAUGAGAGAGAAACAAUCGUUGGAGUUUGACUCUGGCGUGAGAAUUGAGAACCAACUUGUACUUGUAAGCAUGCAACCUUGUGGCUUGUGGGUCUACUAGCAUUUGUUAUAUAUUUUUUGCUCUGACUAGUGUGUAUCUAUAUAUAUAUAUAUAUAUUUUUUUUUUUUUAUAGCAUUUGUAUAUAUAUUUUUUGCUCUGACUAGUGUGUAUGUAUAUAUAUAUAUAUAUAGGAAAAAUACUUUAGGGCCCUUAAAUUUUGGGGACCUAUGUCGUGGAAUAGGUGACACACCCCAAAGCUGACUCUGUAUAUUUGUUUCAAAUUUAGUGACUAUUGUUGGUCGCUCAUGUAAACAUCAUGAUUUUCUUUAAAAAAAAACAAGCAUCCAAGAUUAUUGAGGCUCUUAAUGCUGGAGAGAUUUUAAGUGGGAGGGGUUUGAAUCAAGAAACCACGCAUAAACGACCAGGUGACACAAGAUGAGGAUCACUUUAUGGUACAUUAAUAAGCAUCAUCUAUUUGUUUUUAUCUAUAGUUGAAUUGCUUGAAAUGAUUAGAGAUGAUGGGACAUCCAUAGAUUAGAAGCAUGAAGCAACCAAACUAUUAGACUAUAUGGAAUCAUUUAAUUUUGCACUCGGUCUGCAUUGAUGAAAACUUUGUUAGAAAUCACAAAUCAAUUAUCACAUGCAUUGUAGAGAAGAGAUCAAGAUAUUGUGAAUGCGAUGAACUUAGUUACUCUAAGAACAACUACAACAUAUGAGCGUCGGUGGAUGAAAUUCUUUACUUAGUCCAGUUAUUUAUGAGAAAUAUGCAUUGACAUUCCUAACAUGGCGGAUAAAUUUCCCAUUAGGCCGAUCGCAAUGAAAAGCUCCGAAAAUGACAAAUUUGCAUUAUUAUCGAGUUGAUUUAUUUGUUGCAUUUAUAGAUAUGCAACUUGAAGAGCUGAAUAGAUUUGCAAUUGAAGAGCUGAAUAAUCAUUUUAUUGCUUCUUUGUCUAGUAUGUUUGAGUUCACUUGAUUCAUUUUCUACUUUCAACAAACAAAAAUUGAUUCAUCCAGCUCAAUUUUAUCCAAGGGGUUUUUAUGAAGGUGAUCUAUUAGCAAUUUUGACAUAUUCUGGAUAUGCUCGAUAUUUCCAUUGAAAUAUCCAAAAAUUCAGGAAAUGAUAUGGAAAGAGGGGCACCUCAUAUCCAUGAUAUUUCUGAAUAUCAGUCAAUUUCCUCGAUAUUUUUUAUAUUUUCAAGAAAUAUCCAGUGUUUGCAAACAAUUUGCAAAACGUUUGAAGGAAAUAUCCAUGAGCCUAUGCAUUCUUUAAUUUUUUUUAAUUUCUUUCUUUAUGGUAUUAAUUUAUUUUCAAUAAAACUUGUGUUGUUUUUAUGACAAAAAUUUCAAUUAAGUUAUGUAUAAUUUAUUCUUUCUAGUGAAAGCUUUAUUUUAUUAAUGUCAUUAUAAGGAAGUUUUUCUUCUCACAUAUCACAUACUUAUUGUUUACAUAGUAUCUAAUCAUUAAUUCUUGAUUCAUACGUGUGUUAUGGCUUCAUAUGACAUUCCCUUUUUUUUUUUUUUUAAUUUUCAUUUUUGUGAGCAAAUUUCCAUCAUUUCCAUCGAAAGCAAUCGAUAUCGAUAUAUGAUAUACCCAUCGAUAUUUCUACAAAUUUGCCUAUCGAUAUUUCAACCGAUACCGAUAUUUUAAACACUGUCUCUUAGUAGUUUGAAGAUCUCUUAGCACUUGAAGAUGAACUUGAAACUUACAUAUUUGAUCUGUGGUUGACUAAUGUGUUUUUGAGGCUGAAAGGAAUUAGUGAUCUUAGAGAAAAACUAGUUAAGUACCAAUUUGGUAGUGCUUAAAUUUUUUUAUAAGUAGGGAUGAAAAACAGUUUGGCUCAAAAUUGUGUUUGUAAUUAAGCCAAAUAUCCCUUAUUUUCAAAUCACGGCGAGAAAUAAUUUAAAAGGAGAAGCAUCUAUUUGCUGCUUUCAAAAACCGGCUUUUCAUCUAAAAACACGGGUGAACAAUAAUGUUUAACUAAUUUUUGUAAUUGCCGAUCCUGCCCUCAUUCUAUUCCUUGCUCUGGUCGCGUCCCAUUUCAUUGCUUCACAACGACACAUGCUUCUUCAUUUGGAUGCUUUGUGGUCAGAGGUAAGCAAUUAGACACCUAGAGCAGAAGACAAUCUCCUGAAAAGUCUCUUUCGUGGAAUUUACCUCUCUUACACCCAAUUCUAGACCCCAAACCCAUUCCCAACUCAUUGCCCCAAACCCACUCCCCAACUUGGAACUUCAUUCCUAAUUCAAACUUACACCUCCUACCACAUCAAAAUUUAUAAAUUAUUCGAUACCAACCUCUUUCCAAAUCCACCCCAUACAUCUUCUGUCACAUCCUGAUCCCAACAUAUGUCUAGGAUCGACACGCGACGACACCAAUACCCGUAUAUCUAACAUACCCCGCCUCCAGGAUAUGUACAAAGCACAACUCGAGAAUCGAAUCACAUAGUAGUUUUUCAUAUACUUUAUGGAUGCAUCUAACCUCCUUGUUAGACUGCCUACGUACCCUAAUUAGGGAUCAAGCCAUUCGCAGUUCGUCAUUUCACUACACUCGAAUAUUCAUCAAUUAAAUCGUUAUGUCUCAAAAAUAAAUCACAAUGCAUAACAUGCAACAUUACAAGGGACAAACGAUGGAGCACAAUCAUAUUCACUAAUCAUAAAGUUCAACGAGUCUAAUCAUUAUUACCAUAACCAAUAUCAUUCCAUAAUCACAUCCAUCAAUAAUGCCAACCAUCACAUCAUCAAUAACACAUACAACACGUCAAAAUGCGGCCUAGAGCGCCACAGCUCGGCCGAAGACUACAUCUAUGAAAAAGGGAAUUUUGGACCACCCAACGAAACCAAGGCACCAAAGGGAAUUCCAAAUCAUCACUCAACGGAAUCCAAUCAGGAUAUGAUUCCGGACCAUCACUCAACUAAAUCCAAUCAGGAUACGAUUCCGGACCAUCACUCAACGGAAUCGCGAAGUAGAAGGGAUUUCGGACCAUCACUCAACAGAAUCCAAUCAGAACUUAGUUCUGGACUACUUAACAGAAAUGAACAAAAGUCCAGGAAGCAUAACAACGGCUCGAAAGAAUAAGACAUGAUUCAAGUUACUCAAUUCACAAAGACUCAAUGAAACGAAACAAUAUCAAGCAACAAAUCCCCAUCACAAUGCGUUAUCGGUCCAUUACUAUACCUCAUAUCUCCCAAGCAAUUCAAUAUGCAUUUCAAUCACAUGUCACAACCAUUUCCAAUACACAAGUCAAAUCACAUUUCACUACAUCAUACCAAUCACUAUGCUUCCAACAUUAUAUCUCAAUCCAUAGCUUGUAACAUAUCAAGGAAUCAUGAAGCACAAUAUUAAUAUUUAAUCACAUUAAUCAAUCGGUGAGAUAGCAUAUCAUUUCACGAAUUUAAUUAAAGAACUCUACAUAAUUUCCUACUUGGGUUAUGGAUAAUAACAUGGUAAUUCUAAUUUGUAUUCACAAGAUCCAUCGUGGGUAAUUCCCAUUGACACGAAUCUAGGAUUCUAAGAUAACCUUAUGAAAUGAGCAAGAGCAAGGAUUCUGGACUACUUAACGGAAUCAAAAUAUCAAACGGUUUCUCAUAAUUUACCCAGACCUGUCGCAUGUGAAAUAAGUGCCUACAUCAUGGAAAUGGUGCUAUCAAACCAACACACAACUUACCUCUUACCUCCACACUUAUGAUUUACAACAUGAGCACAUACACCAUCCAUUUAUGUAUUUCCCAUCUAGGCUCCAAAGCAUUGUUUCGAAUUAUUACUACAAGCAUCCAUCACCUCGAUCAACUCCUAUUCUCAAGUAUAUGCAAUUACUAAAUGCAUCACUUCUGACUUUAGUCUUAAUUAGAUUACUUGGAACUACUAAUUCACACUAUGAGAUCCAAAUACUAUUUUGGUUAACUUGAAUUAACAUGAUCAAAAUAAAUGUAACAUUUGAAUGAAAACACUUAGAGAAAAUAAGUGAAGAUGCUACCUACAAAUAUAGAUGUACGUGUACAUAAAAGCCUUGGCAGUUGGUGCAUAUAUAUAUAUAUAUAUAUAUAUAUAUGUAUAUAUAUAUAUAUGUAUAUAUAUAUAUGUAUAUAUAUCCAGGGAUAUAAGUAAGUUCCUUUGAAUAUGCAUAUAUAGAUAUAUGUAUACGGUAGAUAAGGAAACAAAUUCAUCCCUUCAUUAAUUUAUACAUACAUAUAAGGAUUCGUUCAACUUCAAACAUAAGCAGAAAGGUCUGAUAAUGCUAAACCAAUGAGAUGGAAUCAAUAUGCUCAUCAACAAUGACUAUUCACUGUCAUCACAAGGAUAAAAUUUGGACCACGUCUGACUAAAUGUAUACUAACAACUCUAGCAAAAUUGUACCAAUUAUGAAGUUGGGACAAUAUAAUUGUCGAUUCCCCAUCAUCAACAUUACAUUAAUGCAUUCACUAACUUUAAAGUAACAAUUGCAACAUGAUAAAUGGGUAAUUUUCAAAUAAGGCUAUACAUACAUAAUGUUAACCAUCAGCAUUUCAUAAAUCAGAUGUCACACACCAGGAAAUUCGACUUUUUCCAAAAAUUCUCAAAUUUUACAGGAAUAAAGAUCUCAACAAGUAGAGUAAGCUUUAUACCUGUGGACAAGUCCAAUUUGGUUGGGAAGGCCCUCAGAUUAGCUCGCAUCAUUCGAAAACCCUAAGGUGGGUGUUCUUCAAUUCGGCUUCCUUGGUGUUCCAACGCCCCUACAAUUGAUUGGUUCUUGUUCUUGGGUCUAAGAGAAGUUGAUCAAGGAUGAUGGUGAAUGGUGAUACUCUUCGGAAUGACAAUUCGUCGUCGAGAACCCCCGGGUUCUCCUAUGAAGUUCUACAUGAAAUAGACCUUAAAAAUCCUUGAUUUUUUGUGAAGGUGGAAGGAGGAAGGUAGUUGAGCAGGUUGCAGGUAAAGAAGAUAAGAAAAUCAGUUAACAAAUGGUAGAAAUUUGCAUGAAGUUGGCCGGUUUUGCCAAAUAACAAAUGGAGUAUAGAGUACACGGUUCUAGAAAUGGGGAAAGAAAAAAUGUCCACCCUCCCCCCUAUUUGUCCUUUUUCAUCCCCCCAUCACGUGCCCCUUAACCCAAUCAUAUAUUUAUUGGGCCUUUAAUCCUCCAAUGGAAAUUAAAUAAUUUCCACUACCUAAAGUUUCACAACUUCAAACGUCCGUAACUAUACCGUUAUAAUUUGGACUCGUAAACGGCUUUCGCCUAUGCGUUCGUGGGUUCGAGAUCUAUUUAAAAACACCAGUUAAAACUUUGAUAAGUCAACAAAAGAUAAAGAUUGAUUUCAAAAAUUCAAACCCGAUAACUAUUCAAUUUAAUUCCCAAAAUUUACAGAAUUAAAAUUAAGUAAUAAAAAUAACGUAAACAUGAAAUACGAACUUAAAUUACGAGAUACAUAAUGAAUAGUGAAAUUCUGAGGACGGGAUUUCAUAUCUUCUCCCAAAUCAACAACCAUUGUCAAAUUCAAAACCACUAUUAUGGACUUACCUUCGAUGAUGAUGUGAAGCUAUCACAUCUCAUUGAUGAGGGAGAGAAGUGUUCUAGAGAGAGAUUAAAUAAAAAAAAUAAACCACAAAUAAAACGCAAAAUAAAUUAUUAUAUUACAUCUAAAAUCAUAUUAUUUUUAGUCAUUUGACAUAAUCACUUCAGUUUUAUAUAGAUGUUUAUCAAACACUCAUUUGCAUUAUUUUACAGCUAUUUAUUUUCACAACCCACAACAUAAGCAUUUUUUUGUAAGUACAACAAUAUCAAACUAGGCCUAAUUUUCACUCGUCCCCCAGAACAACUCGAGCCCAUCUCUGGUGCUUGUUGAGCGAUUUUUUGUUUUUUAAUCUCAAGUGUUACACUACUAGGGCUUUCAAUCAAUGAGAAUUACAGUACUAGAAAAUGUGCUAUAGGGCACCGCUUUGAGGACACCCUUCUUCAUCAGUGGCUUUGUAAAUUGGACUGUCACGAUUGUUAAAAUUUGAUUUCUUAAACUUUUGUAACACCAAUCAUUGGUGGCUUUAACCUUUAUAACACCAUUCAUUGGUGUCAAACUAUAAAAUUUUUGACACCAAAGACUUGUUAUAUGUUUUUCAAACUUUGGGAGUUGAUUUUUUUUAUCUUCUUUUUCAGUUUUCUUCUCCUUUUUUCUGUCAAAGAUAUUUUUAUUUUCAUUUAAUAAUGCUAUUCUACAAUACUUCACCCCUUGUUUAAGAGUAAUGGUAUUCAUACCAUAUUUUUAUAUCAUCUUAAAUGGCAUUUGAUGUGGAUAACCAAAUUAUUUGAAAAAAAUUGCAAAACCCAAGGAAAGAAAGAAGAAAGACUCCUCGUAUACCAUAAUCAUAAUUUAAUUAACUAGUUUUUCUUAAUUAUUAGUUUAUUAAAUAAUGAACUAAAUUAAAAAAUAUGAUUAAUUCAAAUGAUGUGUUUGUCCACAUCAAAUGCCAUCUAAAGUGGUAUGAAAAUGUGGUAAAAAAAUAUGGUAUGAAUAGCGUUACUCCUCAUUUAAAUACAAAGUUUACCCAGCCCUAAUUUUCAACCAGCCUCUCACUCGCUCUCCCCUCCUGCGCUAAACUCCUCGCCUUCUCCCUCACCCUAGCUCCCUAACCUUUCGAUUGUAAAGCUUUCUAAACCCAGAAAUUAAGGGGUGUAGUCAAAUUAAGAUUUUGUAGGAUUUUAAUAGAUUUUAAAAUCUGAGUGUAGUUAAUUAAAAUUUUAAAAAGUAUUUUAAAUGACUUUGAAAUUAGGAUAUAGUCAAGUUAGGAUUUAGCAGGAUUUUAAAGAAUACAUUCAAAUCCAUGGGUAGUUAAUUACGUUUUAAAAAAAAUCCAUCCAAAUCUAGGUGUAGUGAGAAUAAUAAAUAUUUACUAAGAUUUUAAGGAGUGAAGGAUUUUGAUGGAUUUGAAGGUGGGUAAUAUAAAUACCAAAUGCUAUCAACAAUCCAGCCCUCCCCCCUCUGAUUUCUUUCACGCCAGACAACAGAAGAGGAAGAGCCUCGCAUACUGAAGAUAGAGAAGGAGGGUGAAAGGGCAUCUACAUCAUCCUGAAUCCACACAUGCGAGUACGUUUUUCUUACCCAUUUCUCAUCUACUUGGAUUAUUCUUUGCAUUCUGUUUGUUUGCCGAGAAAGUUCAGGAACCCAUAUAAAUAUUGAAAUUUCAACCAUAACAAGAAACCAAUUGGAAUUCAGUGCUAAUAAAGCAAAUAUUUCAAUACCAUGAUCAAAUUCAGUACCAAGGUCUGUUAGCUUUCACUUCAGUUCGCAAAUUUUGGGGAGCUUUCGAUUUCGGGUUGGUGGAUUUGCUGGUGCUGGUAGGAUCACUCUUCAGAUAUGGAUGGGAGAUAGUUUAGAUAACUGGGAGGGGAUCCGACCUCCAAAUCGAACAGAUAGACCUAUUUAACCCUCCCAACUAAUAACUCACAGUUGCUAGUUGGAGAAUGAAUGUGGGUUAUGUAAUUGGACUAAUUGGGUAUAUUUUUUUUUCUCUUUGCAUCGAUUUUUUUCGUUAACAAAAUGAUAAUGUGAGUGAGAUUUCAGGUAGUUUUCUGCUUGUGUAGUUACCGCUGUCUAAUUACAAAUGUUUUGGUAUUUGAUUGCUCAAGACGUCCAAAACGAUGCUUCUAUCAUUUAGAUUUGCUUAUUCAUGACGAAGUUGGUAUUGUAAAAAGCUGGAGAAAAUGUGAUUUGGGAAUGCUAUUGAAUUGCUUUGUCUCGUAGAAUAUCAAACACUUUUUGUUCCUUCAUGAAUGUAGAGUAUCAGUAUUUAUCAGUUCGGAAUGAAUUGUUUUCAAUUAGAAGAACUUUUCGAUGCUAAAACGGAUAAUGUAUGUGUAGAAAAUGUAGUGCAGAGAUAAAGGAACGAUGUUAUCAAAAUGAGAAUUUGUGGAAGACUUUCUUUCUUCACUGAUAUUCACGGUAUAUGUUGCAUUGGCUAUUUUGCCUCACAUAGAAAGUAGUAGACUGCUGAAGGUCCUUCGAUGAAUCCCCUUGUUUGGAGGUAAAAAGGCAAAGAGAAAGCCAGUUGCCUCCUGCCCAUGGCUUAAGCCGAUGCAGCAGAAUACUCGUUAGAAUAAAAUGUGCAAAAAUUAGAACCACUGAUGAUCAUAAACAAGGCGUGAAUAACUGCUUAUUUAUAAUUUUAUUUGAAAAUGUAGUUUUGCUAGAUUACAAAGGAUGAGUCCUACACAAAGUGAAACAUAUCUAAACUGAAUUAUCUACAGUUACAUUUAAAUGCAAAGCUGUCAAGUAAUUGAAUUAUCUAUAUUUCUUAAUUUAUCUUAUAAUUGAUAUUAUAUGUAUGGUUUUCUGGUUGUUAACUUAUUUGUGGUUUUGUUUAUUUGAUUGGGUAGUUUAUGUAAUGUCUCAAACAAGCAUGGAAGUGGAAGGUGGGGAAGAAAUGGAAGUGGAUGAAGUGGACGAAGAAAUGGAAGUGGAGCAAAUGGUGGAAGAACAAAUUGAAGAAGAAGAAGAAGAAACUAAUGAAGAAGAAAUUGAGGAAGAACUUUAUGAAACCAUUAAAUAUUUAUUGAUGGCAAUUCAAGCUGUAGUCCACGUGCUAAAAGAGUUUAUAAUUACAUUUGGACAACCUAUUGAACGUCCUUUAAAUCGAAGAUCAAUUACUAUGGAAUGAUACAAUUAUAUACAUAAAGUAUUGAAAGAGACGGCCCAAAGGAUUUCCGGCAAAGGUAUAGAAUGUAUCGUGAUGUGUUUGUGAAGUUAUGCAUUAUUAUUAGAGAAAAAACACUCUUACGAGAUACAAGAUUCAUUUGCAUAGAAGAAAUGCUUGCAACAUUUUUGUGUAUUGUUGGACACAAUAGUAGAUAUUGUCUACUACGUGAUACGUUUGGCCGAUCACAUUGGACUGUCAGUAGAAAUUUUAACAAAGUCUUGAAGGCCUUGUACACAAUAGCACCGAAGAUGAUGGCCAAACAUGGAUUAGCAGUGCCAUGUAAAAUAAGGGAAAGUACGAGACUUUACCCUUGAAGGUACGUAUAGUUGUCUUAUUUUUUAUUUUUUAUUUUGUAUCGUUCUAAUUUAUUCCAAAUGAUAAACUUAACACUCUUUUAGGAUUAUAUUGGAGCUAUUGAUGGCAUACAUAUCCCAGUAUCAAUGUCCGGAUGUGAUGUAAGCAGUUAUUGUAAUCGUAAGCGUGUCAUAUCACAAAAUGUAUUAACUGCUUGUAACUUUGAUUUGGAAUUCAUGUACGUCCUUAGUGGAUGGGAAGGAUUGACUCAUGAUUCAAGAGUACUAAAUGAUGAUUUGACAAGAAGGAAUGGACUUAAAGUGCCACAAGGUAUCAAAUUAUUAUUUAUCAUUUUUUUUAUUAUUUAAUUUCUCAUUAUUCCAUUGAGUUGCAUACUAAAAUAUAUAUUAUCAGGUAAAUUUUUCAUAGUAGAUUGUGGAUUUCCAAAUUGACGUCAGUUCUUAGCUCCUUAUUGAGGAAUCCGAUAUCAUCUCCAAGAGUAUAGUGGUUAGGGUUGUGAGCCUAGAAACGAAAAAGUGUUGUUCAAUCUUCGUAAUGCUUCUUUAAGAAAUGUCGUCGAGAGGAUAUUUGGUAUUUUAAAAUCACGAUUCCCGAUUUUAAGGAUUGCACCUCCAUUUUCAUAUGCAACACAAACAUAUGUAGUAUUAGCUUGUGCAUAAGUGUACAAUUUUCUUCGCAAGGAGUGCAGAUCAAAUGAGUUUCCUGUUGAACUAGAUAAUGAAUCUUCUUCGUCUCCACCAUUAUUAGUUUUUGAAGGGGAUCUUGACCAAGAUUUUCAAACACAAGAACAAUAACGGAAUAUUGCUAAUGAAUGGAUAUAUAAUAUAGCUUUGGACAUGUGGAAAGAUGCCCAUAAUGAUAACAAUGUGAAUGGAGGAUAAUGAGUCACAAAUAAUUCUAGUGUGGUAGUGAUGAAUUUCUGAUGAUUUUCUUGUAAUGUUAGGUUUUGUGGCUGCGUUCGAGAAAGCAAAAAAGAAAGAAGAAAAUAUUACUUGUAAUGAUGAAUUUUUUAUUAAUAUAAGGUUUUGUGGUAGUGUUUGAAACUUGGAAUUUGGAAUUUCAUCUGAUUGCUUAGCUACUGCGAUUACAUUAUUAUUCUGUGUAUUUGAGUUCAUGAUUGUGCUUGCUAACACUUCAAAUUUAUUGUUAAUGGAUUUCCUUUGAUUCAAAACAUUUAUGUUUCUUGUGCAUUAUUUCAUUUUAUGUUAUAAGAUUCAACUAAUAAAUGCUAAGAAAUUCACGAAAGAAAUCCAUACAAAUCCAUACAAAUCUAUAAUAGAAAUCCAUAUAAAUCUGUCAAAAUCCAUAUAAAAUUGAGAAUAUUUUAAAAUCCUUUGAAAUCUAUUACUUAAAAAAAAUCUAUUAAAAUCCCGUGAAAUCCAAAUUGACUGCAACCUUUCAAACCCAUUUCAUUUAUCUUCAUUUUUUGACGCCAUCCGCCACUAAUUCCCACUCUCUUAACAUUUCAGGCUUAAGGGUGCGUUUGGUACGUGGGACGAGACGGGACGAAACGGGACGAGGCGUUCCGUCCCACGUUUGGUAUGCCAAAAAUGGGUGGAACGCGCUGUUCCACGAGACAGAAAUUGGGUGUUUUUGCGUCCCGCCUCCCCUCCUGGAACGGGUUGUUCCACGUAUGUGGAACACAAAUAUUCCACUGUCUACCCUCCUUGUCUCUCCCGUAGCCUCCCUCUCUCCUGUAGCCUCCUCCUCCUCCUCCACCUCAAACCCAGCUGCAUCUUCCUCGACCUCAACGCUCCCUCCACCACAGACUCACGUUCUGGGGAGUUCGCGGGGGUUCAUCUUCAUCUUCGUCCCAUCUUUAGUCAUUCAUUCAUUGUUCAAGGAAUACAAUCUUUAGUCAUUCACUUUCUUUCUCUAAAUUCUCUGCCAUUGUUUUUCGUUUUGCUUUUUCUUCAAUCCCCAAAAGCUAAUCAUGGUAUUAUUAUGUGUUCAAAUAUGAACAAGUUCAAAAAAAAAAAAAAUGUCUUGUCCCGUCCCACGCAUAAAUAUUGUACCAAACAACAAACAGAAUAUGAAUAAGUUAGUCAUUUAAUCUUUUGGUUCCGUUCCGUCCAACGUGUACCAAACGCAGAACAGAACAACCGUCCCGUUCCGUCCUGCGCGUACCAAACAUAACAUGGAACCUUGUUCCGUUCCUUCCUCCCAUCCCGUUCCGUCCCAUUUUGUUCCGUCUCGUCCCGUCUGCGUACCAAACGGUGCCUAAUAGUCCAUCUCGGAAGCCAAAGAUAUGUUGGCCAAAGGCAAGGCAGAUUUCAUCUAUUUGUGAGAGUAAAGUUUUUAUAUUUUUCACACAAUCCUCCAAAUUUUUAAUUUUUUUUAAAUUAGGAAAUAAUUUUUAUCUAGCGCGAAACAUAUAUCGCUGAACUCCUUGAAUUCAAUGUUUGUAUGCACAGCAAACGUUUCGAUUUUAGCUUGAUUUCCUUUUUUUAUGGAAUUUUAGUUGAUUAUUGUUAUGGAAUUUUAGUUGAUUAUUGAGUGAAUUUCAUUUUUUCUUGACAGUGCAUUCUUACACCAAAACCCCCUGCAUACGAAACGUGUGCCUUUUGUUUCUCUGCUGUUUUUGGGUACUCCUGUUCGUUCAUCUGGAUGCUUAAAAUGAAUUUUUCUUACACCAAUGGGAUUCUGCAAUUUGGGUACUGGUAGAGUUUUUGGAAUUUUGUAAUUUGAAUUACUUAUAUCUUGAUUUUUGUGGAUGGGUUGGUACUUAUGGGAGAAAUCGACUCUGAAUAGGUUUUUGAUAUAUCUUCAAACAGUUUAUCCAAUAACUUUAGUUUUUAACCAAAUAUUAUACAACUCUCAUUCAAAUAUAUAUUGAUAAUUUGGUAGGAACCCAAAUCCAAACCCAGAACUUCAAACACUCUUCCUUUCAUCUCUCUCUACGGCCUCUGGGUAUUCUCUGUGGAUGCAAAUUUUCUCCUCCUCGAUCUCGGACGAUUUUGCACCUACAAAACAACUAGCACUUUAGGUUAAGGCCAAAAGCCUCACGCGCCCACGAUGAAUGGGGGGGGCUUUGGCCGAAGAACCUCCGAUGCCAAAGUUAGAAUUUUAGAGAGAAAUAGUGUUUAGAAUAUUUGGGAUUUUUUUGCAAGAGGUUUGGAAUUAGCUUUUUGGUGAGAAUGGGAGUAUAUUUAUAGGGAUAGGAGGUGGCUAGGGUUUUUAGGUUUAAUUUAGGUUUAAUUAGCCAAUUUAUUAUGAUAAAUUUGCUAAUUAAACAUAAAGGGAAUAAAUGGAUGGUUAUAGAAUCAAUUAGCUAGCUUAAUUGGGGUAGUAAAGUGGGAAAAGAUAGGGAAGGUAGAAAGCUUAAGGGGAUGGCCGGCCAUGUGAUGUUUUAGGGUUGAAUUGGUUGUAUUUUGUGGUUAUUUGGAUAUAAUGGAUGGUUUAAUUGAGAAUUAAUGGGUUAAUUAGGCAAUAAACCCAUUAAUUAGCCAAUUAACAUAAUUUAAAAGGAAUGUGUUUGGGAAUUACCUUGUAGAAAGGAUUUGAUGAGAUGGACUUUGAAUUGUUACCUAUUUUGGGCACUUCUGUCUUGGUUGAAAGAGGGUUGCCCGCUGCUUGCGCGUAGGAACCUCAUUGUACUGCAAGGGUAUUUUUUUCCUUUUUGUCCAAAAAACCCACGUGUCGCCUUGUGAAUAUUUUUGGCUCCACAAAUGCGCCCACACCUGUUGGGCUGCUCGCAGAAAAGGGCGGUAGGUGUAGAGAUUUUCUUGCUUUAGGAAACUUAGGACUGCUUCCUAUUUUGAUGUUGAUUCUCUCUUUAAAUGGAAAUUAGAUCCUUCUAGGAAAAGGAAAUAAAUUUCUCUCAAAGCCUAUUUAAGUCCACCUUAAGUGGGUUAUUAAAUCAACUUUGGAGCGAUUUAUUCUACCUUACAAGAGAGAGAUAGCUUAGAGGAUAUUUGUUCCCCCUCCUCUAGCAAUCUUCUACAUCUUGCCUGUGCAAAGGACCGUCUUUCGUUGCUUUCUUCGUCUUCUUCGUGCCACACCAAUGUAAGAAAAAUUUAAUUUUUCUUGCCUUAUUCUUGGAUAGUGCUAUUGCGGGGUAGCCGUCGGGGUGGUGCGGCACGUCGGCUGGCAGGGGCCAGGAGCUGGCUCGGCAUGAGCUGAGGAGAUGUCGUGGCAGGGACCACUGCUUGGGCAGCUUGGCUUGGCUUGAGCCAAGGGCAGCUUGUGCAGCUGGGGUCGAGGAUUGUGGCGCUAGGGCACAGUGUUAGGCGAGCCGCAUGGCUCAUGUCCUUUGAGCUCUUGGACCUGACUCGGGCCAGGCUGGCGAUUGAGAGAAAUAAGGAGAUUGCGGGUCUCAUGGGUUGCUGGAAUGUUGGGCAUGCAGGCCUUCUGCCUGCUGGAAUGCUGGGUUGAGCUCCCCUGCUGAGUACCAUGAAUGUCGUUGGCUGCUUAGUCUUCUUUGCUGAAAGAAAGGUGGGCUGCUCCAGAAAGAUGAGGUAAAGAGGAUCAAGGCGGAUGCAUUGGCUCGUCUGAUCGCUGUCGUGGAGCUUACUAUGAAUGAAGAUGGAAAGAAGAGAUCUUCCCCGCCUGCUCAUGAGAUGCCUAGUUAAGAAAAAACUGAAGACUUCUUCUGCUGCUCAUGAGGGUCCGCUUGCUACCGAGAGGUAUGUGAUUGACAUGACUUCUUCUAAUGGGAAGAAAAAUAAGGCUGCUAGAUCUGAGCAUGUGGCGUCUUCCAUGUUGAGAAUGGCUAGUACAAUUGUGGAUAAGAUUGCUCAGCGUAAAGGUUUUAUCAUGCCCCCAGUGCCGAAGUCUGUACCAGGACGUUCUUUGGGAGCUAAGUCCGAUUCACCUUUGUAGAGACUUGCUAUUAUGAAGAGUGGUAAGGUGGACUCUGCUGCUAAAGUGGCGCCAAAGCCUACUCCCUUUGCUGCUGAGAUUGAUUCGCCUCAGAUUCAAGAUCUUAAGCUUGCAAUUUCUGAGCUUCGUUUCGCUGCUUAUGCUAAGAAGGGAGUGGAUGAGCUGCAGCGUGUCUGUGUUAGUCUGCUUAAGAAGAAUGAGCAGCUGAAGGGUGAGAAUGAUGGGCUUGAGGUUUUAAGACCUUCUCUAUUUCUCCGAAAGACUUGCUUGCUUUUACUUUUAAGGCUUCCAUUGGUGAAGUAGUUGGAGAAGUUAGUGCCCAGACUGGGGCAGCCGGGGGUGAAGCGCCGGAUGAUGCCGUUGCUAAGAGUGUUACGGCUGUUGAAGGUGUGGCGACCGAGUAGUCGUGGGAUGUCCAAGCUGCUGUAUUGUAGUAUUUUAGGUAGCCUUUAGGAUUUUCUUUGUUUUUCCUUGUAGCUCUUGUUUUGCUUGAACUCCUUCGGCCUUUGCUAGUUGUUUAUAAACAUGUUUUCCUUCGUUUUUCUUCAUCUUCACUUCUUUUGUUCAUGCCCUAACCUUUAGACUUGAUAGACCAGUGGCAGGCAUGCUACUUUUUUAUAAGCAGACAAGCUCGCGUAGCCUAUGCAGCCAUAGGUGUUGGUGUAGAACUUUGCAAAGUUGUUAGCCAUAGGGUUGGCAGCCGGAUGCCUUACUUACAGAAGAAGACAAGUCCGCGUAACCACUAGGCUGUUAACCUUGACUUUCUUCAAUGUCGUAGGUUGCGUAGCAAGUAUCACAACACUUUAGGACUUGGUGUAGGUUGUUUCGCGCUUGGCAGAGGUGAACCUUAUCGACUACGUAGCAUGUCGGCAGUGGAUAAAACUUCGUAUAUGCGCGCUAGCUUGUUUAACCUUUCACAAGAAUGUGCGGUUGUAUAAGUCUAGCGCGGCUUUAUUGCUCGAAGGGCAAGCCGUAGGCAGUCUUCCGGAAUCCGUAGGCUACCUUAGUGCACUCGGUAGCAGCUUUAGGAUUCCAGGGCAGCCGUCCAUCGGAUGUACUGCGUAAUGUGCCAUCUCCGUCUCUAGGGCCCAGUUCCCUACGGGUUAAGCCAAGAGACCCAAAAUCCUUCAGUUAGCUAAGCCUUGAAAAAGACCAUUGUGGCUACUUCUAGGAAUCCCGGCGCAAGCCAUCGUGCAUCUAGUUAUACUAGGGCAGCCAGGCUCAUCCAUGUCUGGAUAUUCGGAGUGUAAAGUUUAUCCUCCCGUCUUGGAGAGCUGACCCAUAUGGGUGUCGGGGAAUUGGUUUACCCUCUCACACUGGAGAGCAAUUAGUUUACCCUCUCGCACUGGAGAGCAUGGUUGGUCCCUCGGGGGGCGCAAUUCCUGCGAUGGGGUCCCUAAGAAGGGCACAAUCUUCUUUUGAAGUGCUGGAGUGAUCACUUGUUGUAAGCAUGCAGCCGAGCCAAGUUGUGAUUACUUCUGAAUUCCUCAUUGAAAAACGAGUGAAACGAACGAGAACUUAGCUGUAAGGUAGGAACUGCAUACAAUUGGAUAGUCCUCGACUUGUGAGGUGGUGCCCAUCGAGCUUCUUAAGUCUUCGGGCUUUGAUGUAGUCGGAGGUCACACAUGGUACUUCUUCAGAUUGUAGGCGCUCCACUACUUUUCGAUCUUUUUAUCGUUUCAUGGUAGCGGAGGUAUAAUUACUCUUACCGCCUAUUCUGCUGAGCUUGUAUGGACCUUCCCAGAUGAGAUCCAUAUUUUUGGAUGUUUCGGCCUGCCUAUUGCCUUGAGGAUAUCUCGGCAUUGACAUAUGCUGCUUGAUGCCAUAUUUUUUGAAGAACUUCGCCAAAUCUUUGCCCACGAAUUGAAGGCCGUUGUUGGUGACGAUGGAUUAAGGGAUGCCAAAUCGGUAAAUGAUGUUCCUCCAUAUGAAGCGCUCUAUGUCCGUCAAAAUCGUGGUCGUCAUGGGCUCUGCUUCCACCUAUUUGGUGAAGUAGUCGGUUGCCACGAACCACAGCUGCUCGCAAGCCUUUGUAGUUGGAUGCGUCGUUGACAUGCGAAUGCCAGAAAUCUCCAUUAAGGGAAUAUGUGCAACUAAAGUGUGCUCGACUGCCUUCGGGGCAUCGUUGGGCCGAAUUGUUGCGUUCGUCAGAAAACUUUGCAUCUGCCAGGGUCUACGCCUUUAUCGUCACCGGUUUGGAUUCGGCGGAAUAGUGCGUCAUGAUGAUGAUUGCAGGUAACUGUAGAAUACAGGUAGUCGGGCCCCUAGCUCUUCUCGCAUGAUGGUAGAGCUUAUUGCUAAUUUAGAUACCGUCAAACAUGCGAAUAAGUCCUCCGCUGCUUCUAGGGAGGUGAUGUCGGGUACUUCUUCAAGUCCUUGAAUGUGCAUUGGCGAGCCUCAUCCCAAAGUGCAUGCUUCUCUGCUAAAGCAAAAGAGUCUGCCAGAGUUAGAUCUUCUUUCAUGAUCAAUUUUCCGAAUAGCGGGUGGUCUGCUGGAAGUCCUUUUUGGAAGGCUGCUCUAGCUAUCGAGUCGUUGCAUCCGACUAUUUUUGCCUUCUCUAUUUUGAACCUCCUCACAUAGUCGCGAAGCGACUCCUUUGGGUUCUUCUUGACGUCGAACAAAUGGUCAGACUUCUUUUUGAUCGAGCGAUAAGAUGAAUAUUCUUUGGUGAAAACCAAAGAAAGUUCGUAGAAAUUCCGGAUGGAUUGUGGCGGCAGGUGUAGAACCAAUCUUGCGCCUCGCCUUGUAGAGUGGUGGCGAAUAUCUUGCACAUGAGAUCAUCGUUGUUUCGAUAAAGGAUCAUUGCGCUUUGGUAACGUUUUAAGUGUUUCUCUGGGUCUUCAUCCCCUUUGAAAGAUGUGAAAUGUGGCAUGCUGAACUCGCGUGGAGGCUCUGCCUCUUCGAUCUCCUCCGUGAAGGGUGACCUGCUUAUGUUGAUUAUGUUCCGUCGUAGUGCUCGUCGGUGACCUCGUUGCGUUGGAAAUCAUGCAAUCGCUUGGUCAAGAGUCUCUCUACUUCUUCCUGAAUUUGCCUUUGUUGGGGUAGCGGAGCUCUCGGCUGCCCCCAAUCAUGACUUGCUGGUCUAGGCUGCUCUUCCAUGUGUUUGGCUCGUCUAUGCCGCGGAUGCAGUGCAUGUGGUGCGUUCCUAGUAGGCGAGCGAGUUCUUCGCAGGCUGCUGAUUGAACUUGAGCUGGAUUGAGUGACUGCUUCUCUCCGUCCGUCGUGCUGCCUACUCUGAUGUGAGAUGGAGAACGCUCAUUGUGGGCUUAGCUGCGAAUAGACACUUUACCCUGAAGGUUGCUCAUGUUGACUAUCGGAGUAUGACCCCAACUGUGAAUGUAUGCUCAUCCGUGGGCCUAGUCGAGAGUGCAUGCUCCCUCGCGCUCUAAGACGGGAAUGUACACUGCCCAAACGUUCGGCUCGUGGCUGGUCGAGUGGCUGCUUACCGGGAUGCUGCUGGAAAUGUUCGUCUGCCCUUGUCCUACUUCGGGAUACCUCGUCCGGGGCACGUUGGAUCCCGAUACGUUGCAAAAGUUGAUUCACCAAGGUUUUCUAUUGUGCAAGGGCGCUCGUCAACUCUAUGACUUGUCGAGACAAGUGUUGUUCGCCAUUUGGAUUGGAAGAGCUUGGAAGGAAUGCGCCUCCUUGGGUAGUGGAAAUGUGGUAGACUCCGGGCGCGAGAUUUGAGUUGGGAAAUGUCAAAUCCGUGAAAAAAUGUGGUGAGAAUGCCCCCGGCUCGAUGGUAGGUCCGGAUGGUUGAGAUAGUCUUGGGCCGACUUGGGCUGCUUGGAAAGCCAGGGGAGCAGGCUGGGCCGUGAGAGUGGGCUGCUCGAAAGAAAGCAGGCUGGACCACGGGAGUGGGUUGCUCGUAGAGAGCAGGCUGGGUCACGAGAGCAGGCUGCUUGGCAGGAGCAGGCUGGGCCACGGGAGUGGGCUGUUUGGCAGGAGCAGGCUGGGCCAUCGGAGUGGGCUGCUCGACGAAAGCAGGCUGGGCCACGGGAGUGGGCUGCUCGUCGGGAGCAGGCUGGGUCACGAGAGCAGGCUGCUCGGUAGGAGCAGGUUGGGCCGUGAGAGUGGGUUGCUUGACGGGAGCAGGCUGGAUCACGGAAGCAGGCUGCUCAAUGCGCGGUGCAUGUGAAUGCGAGGCUUGGGCUUGGGUCCACGUAAACUUGGAUGGCACGGCUUGGAUCGUGGUCUUGGUACCGUGAGCCUUGGAUGGCACGGCUCGGGCCGUGGUGAAGGCUCCAUGGACCUUGCCACGAGUGGCUACCGAAGUAGCCACCGCGGUGGUUCCCAUGGUGGCUGUGGUGAAGGCACCAUGGACCUCGCCGCGGGUGGCUACCGAGGUAGCCACCACGGUGGUUCCCAUGGUGGAAGCUCGUGAUGAUGAUGUCGCUGCCCUUAUUGUCGCAUUUAGUCUCACGGAUCUCCGCAAUCCCAUUUCUUGAACAUUAGACUUUUCACUUGUGGAAUUUUCUAAAUUUCUAGCCAUUAUAUUUUGCUUAUACGUUUUAUCAAAUAACCUUUGCAAGUAAAAAAUUCUAAUAAUAAGAACGUAUGAAAAAUAUUCAAAUGGGCUAGAAAAUAAAGAAAAAACCUUUUUGUGCGAGAGUCUUCUACGAGUAUGGAUUUCAACUCUCAAUGAAAGCACCAAUUUGUGGAUGCAAAUUUUCUCCUCCUCGAUCUCGGACGAUUUUGCACCUACAAAACAACUAGCACCUUAGGUUAAGGCCAAAAGCCUCACGUGCCCACGAUGAAUGGGGGGGGCUUUGGCCGAAGAACCUCCGAUGCCAAAGUUAGAAUUUUAGAGAGAAAUAGUGUUUAGAAUAUUUGGGAUUUUUUGCAAGAGGUUUGGAAUUAGCUUUUUGGUGAGAAUGGGAGUAUAUUAUAGGGAUAGGAGGUGGCUAGGGUUUUUAGGUUUAAUUUAGGUUUAAUUAGCCAAUUUAUUAUGAUAAAUUUGCUAAUUAAACAUAAAGGGAAUAAAUGGAUGGUUAUAGAAUCAAUUAGCUAGCUUAAUUGGGGUAGUAAAGUGGGAAAAGAUAGGGAAGGUAGAAAGCUUAAGGGGAUGGCCGGCCAUGUGAUGUUUUAGGGUUGAAUUGGUUGUAUUUUGUGGUUAUUUGGAUAUAAUGGAUGGUUUAAUUGAGAAUUAAUGGGUUAAUUAGGCAAUAAACCCAUUAAUUAGCCAAUUAACAUAAUUUAAAAGGAAUGUGUUUGGGAAUUACCUUGUAGAAAGGAUUUGAUGAGAUGGACUUUGAAUUGUUACCUAUUUUGGGCACUUCUGUCUUGGUUGAAAGAGGGUUGCCCGCUGCUUGCGCGUAGGAACCUCGUUGUACUGCAAGGGUAUUUUUUUUCUUUUUGUCCAAAAAACCCACGUGUCGUCUUGUGAAUAUUUUUGGCUCCACAUUCUCUCAAUUGAUGCUAUAGUAUUUGUUAAAAUUGUUAGAUUUAGGGUUUGGAUUUAAAUUAAUUUUAGGGAUUUUGAUUGUGGUUUAAGUGUUUUGGUAUGUUCCCUGCACAUUGCAAAAUUCGGAUACUAUUUGGGAGUUUUGGUAUUGUAAGUCCGGUGUUUGGCUUAGAUGUGGUGUUUCAAUCUGAAUGCGGGUUCUGUAUUUAAAAUUUCAGCUAAGGUUUCUCUGUAUUCAUUAUAUAGAGAGAUUUUCUUUUCAUGUAUUAAUUUGAACUUAUUUGGAGAUUUUAAGGAUUUUUGUGUGUAUUUGUGCUUUUGCUCCCCAGUUUGAAAUAUAUAUACAUGUAUCAGGUUACCAAGAAUUCCUCAUUGGGGUCAUUAAACCCUGUAGUUAUUAGUUAAGUUCCUCAGUGCGGAUUUCUACAAACUACACUUGAGAAAAAUAAUUAUGUAGGGGCUCUAUUUCGUCUUUUGAAAAACAAACCAAGGAAAUGUAGAUAUUAUUUUUACAAUUUGGAUACCUCUGAUCAAUUGUACGAGUGUUACUGUAAAAAUCAAAGCACACCAUUUCUUUUUCAAAGGAUUCCUAAUAGCUUGGUUUGGCAAGUGCUAGUCCGUAUUAAAUCAGUCGUCUUUAUCAAUAAUAGUAGUAGUAAUAAUAAUUUAACUUAGUCUUGUUAUUUUUGUUCCAGGUGUGUGGGCUUGAAUUUAAUGUGAUUGCUCUUGCUUAUGAGGAUGGUGGCGGUGAAUUUUUUUUCAAGUAUAUUGUAUAAUUUUUCCCUUUAUUAUGUUUUCUUGUUGGUUGCUAACUUAUUUGGCCCCUCUGUUGUGCAGAACACACUGAGCAAAGAGCUUUCUGCAAGUAAGUUUGAUUAUGCUGGGAAUAUAUUGUACAUUACCGGUUAUUUUUGUGCCUUGUUUUAAUUCUACAAGCAUGGAUGAAGUCAUUUGCAUUUUCUUGCAUGUUGGAGUAGUUUGAUGGUGUAUAAUGAUAGACAUGAGCAAGGAGCAUUGUGCAACAAAGUUUGAUUUCCCUACAAUUUGCAAACUGUAGUCAUUAAUAUAAUAUCAAGUUGUGAGAAUUUUCUUAAGUUUCAGAAUUUCUUUUGUAUUCUUGAGGGUUACUAAUAAAUGUUGAAUUGCUUGUUAAUUAUUAUUGUGAUGGCAUUUAGAAUAGCUUUGGACCUUUUCCGCCACAAGAGGUUUCCUUGAGGUAAUUAAUUUUUUUGGCAAAUUCAUAUUAAAUUGUUGUUGGCCUCUAAAGGCCAUCUCCAACCGAAGGGUCCAGAGGGCCAGAGGGUCGAAAAUAGCCUGAAAACCGUCUCCAACCGAGGGCUAGGCCAAAGGGCUCUGGAAUCUGGGAGGGUCCCACAGAAUCGGAGAGGGUUGGAGGGCUGGCUGGUUGGCUUUUUUUUUUUAAUGUUUUGUUAUUUCUGUCGGUUAUAACCGAAAUGAUUUAUUUUAUUUUAGACAUCGAAAUUUCGGUAAAUAAAUGUUGACCGAUAAAUCAAAGUGUCAACGCUCAUGUAUUACAUAAAUUUUACACGUAGCGUGUGACUCAACGAAAAUUGAAAUGAGUUGGAAAAGUCAUCAAAUAGGACACGUGUCAACACCUGGCAGAAACGACUUAUUUCAUCUGGGAUAUUAUAUUCAAAAUUAGGCCUUGGAAAAUUCUAUAAAUACAAGCCCAUUUCAUUCAUUUGAGAGGACCAAUUCAUAUUACACCUUGAAGCUCUGAAGCUCUGAAACUCCGAAGCUCUCAAGCAUCCAGGUUCCCGAAGAAUCAAGAAAGCUCUCUUCGUUCUUCGUUCUUCGUUCAUCGCUCUUUCAAGAUCAAGCCCCGACGGCCCUUGAAGAAAGCACCAUCGUUCAUCAUCCUUUCAUCCAAGAUCAAGCCCCAACGGCCCUUUGGAUCAACAAUCAUCCACCUUCAAGAUCAAGCCCCGACGACCCUUGAAGAAAGUGUUCUUCGUUCUUCGUUCUUCGUUCAUCGUUCUUCCAAGAUCAAGCCCCAACGGCCCUUUGGAUCAACAAACGUCGACAAAUCCACACAUCCAACCGUCCUUCAAGAUCAAGCCCAAAAGCCCUUGAAGAUCCGUUCAUCACUGUUCUUCAAGAUCAAGCCCAAAAGCCCUUGAAGAUCCGCUCAAAUCCACCUUCAAAGAUCAAGCCCACGGCCCUUUGAAGAAACUUCCAACUGUUCAUCCAAGAUCAAGCCUCGACGCCCCUUGGAUCAACGAAACAUCCACAAAUCAACACCUUACGGAGAUCGAAUCAGAGGAUCAAAAUUGAGAGAGAUUGUAACCCAAAAUCAUCAAAUACAAAUAUUUGUUUGUGCACGUUGUUCUUGUCUCUUUCGUUUCAGGAAUUUUCCGUGUUCACACUUAUAUUUUUUCCUAUAACUUCUAUUUUACAAAAUUUAUUUCAUAUUUUUUUAAAUUCCAUUUUUUUCCUAUAACUUCUAUUUCACAAAAUUUGUUUCAUAUUUUUUUUAAAUUCUAUUUUUUUUCCUAUAACUUCCUAAGCCAUUAUACAACAUCAAAAAAAAAAAAUUAUGUUUGGCCCUAUGGCCCUUUGACCCUCGGUUGAAGAUGGUUUUUUGUGAAAUGGCUAAAACGAGCCCUUUGGCCCUCUGGUCCUCGGUUGGAGACGGAGGUAAAAAUGACCCUGUACUGUUCAUUAAAAUAUUAAUAUCUUGGAGAAUCUUGGAGGGCCAAGGGGUUAAAACGAGCCAUCUAGCCAGCCAUCGGUUGGAGAUGGCCUAAGUACCGACCCAAGUGAAUGAGUGAAAUUCAAUUCUUAUAUAAGUAGAUGAUUUCUUGUUUAGGCAUUCAUGGUUUAUUGCGAUACUAUGGUGUUAUUGCAGUCCUUCCCCAUUUUCUAACUUUUAACUGUUUGUUGUGUUCUAAUGAUGGUUUUUAUUAUUUUUGCAGGAUAUCGCUAAAUCAAUGUUGAAGAAUGAGAUUGGGAUGGGAUAAUUUUAUUGUAUAUUGAAAUACUUUGUAUAACCACUCUGCUUCUACAUUUUAUGAUACCAUUCAUUGGAAAGAGACCCCAUUUUGUAUCAGUAAUAGAGUAUUAUAAAAAAGAUUAUCUCUAUACAUCCAAAUAUAUGUGCAUGAUAAUGUCGAGAGUUCCAUUCUUUUAAUUUUUGGUACAUAUCAAGUCCAAAGUCUAGAAGGAACAGAAAAGACCUACAAUGGGACAUUCCUGGUUCAACUUAUACCUCAUUUAUCAUCACUCAUCAGUCAAAAGAUUAGGAAUGCUAAGUGGGACAAGUCUCCAUAUAUACAUUGCAUAUCAAAUUUAAGAUGAUUACUCGUAUAUAUCCAUCAUAUAUACCAAAUACAGAUUUUUGAGAGUUUUUACUUUGCGAAUAUAUUGGAGGAUGUAAAGUUAAAUUUUUAGAUAAAAAAAUUCGAGUAAUCUUGUAUGAGCGUAAAAAAAGUUGAACGAUUCCUGCUAUUGCUAAUUGAUUGAAGUGAAAUACAAGCACUUCCACGUCCCCUUGGGGACAUCCGAGAGUGGCUUCUACUUUCAUGCGAGGAGGAUUAUUUCUAGUGGUAAAGGCAAAAGACCAAAUCCACUGUUGCUUUGUAACGCAUGCAGAGUAGCUCUAGGCAUUCAUGAUUCAUGAUACAGAUAACUCUAAGAUUUAAAAGUAAAAAUUAUGAUUAGAUAGUAUAAAACAAUUUGCACCAGUAUCCAACUCUUAAUCCGAAAUACAACUACGAGUGGCGACCGGCGAGAAGAAAAACUACAAGGCUAGCUAAAGCUCACCACUUAAAUUACCCUACUAUUAAUAUAGCUUCAAACUGAUGCCUUCUGGAUAAUGCGAACCUUCAUCUCGUUG